RNAcentral lists this long non-coding RNA (48839 nucleotides) under Podarcis lilfordi (Lilford's wall lizard). The record is from RNAcentral. Lineage: Eukaryota; Metazoa; Chordata; Lepidosauria; Squamata; Lacertidae.
GGGAAAGUUUUAAAAGUCCUUGUCACCCCAUCCUCGCCAUUCCCCGGGACACACAUCACAUCCCCAGGACACGUGUCACACCCCUGGGAUGCGCGCCAGCCACGCCCCCACCUGCUCUCCACCCCCACUGCUCUUCGCCACUGCUCAGCUGGAUGCCAUAUGAACCUAGAAGGAGAUCAGCAGGCCAGGGAGGCUAGUUUGUGGGUGAGUUUUGGUUAUGCCAAGAGCUAAAAGGAUACAGAGGCACUGAACCUUCUCUGUGAGCUGAAUCCCCAAGCUAUGGUCUGCGGUGGCGCCUUCCCUCAAAACCUAAUGGGGAAUCAAGAUCCGUUGGGGUGUUAAUGCUUUGAGCUCUUACAUCAUAUGCUCAGAAUGUAUGUCUGUAUAAGUAAAACCAUAUAUGUAUCCCAAAGACACCACAGUCUCUGCUGACCUUAACUCCAAGGCAGCUGAACCCUGAGUAAGCGUUGGAAAUCCUGAAAUCUCUCACCGCUCAGAAAUUGGUGUGUGUGCAGCUAUAGCUACAGAUAUAGUUGCAAGUUGCAAGUUCUGAAAAUGUUUUGCAGAACUGUUUUCUGUUCUUGCUUUGGGUAGAGACAGUUUUGCAAUUAGUAGUUAACAGUUGUGUUUCUGAGAACUACUUUCUCAACUUUUUUGAGUUUCACAAUUUUGCAUCACAGUAGACAAAACUGGGCUAGAUGGACUGAUGGCAUGAUUCAGUACACAGUAGCUAUUUACAAUUUCCUCAAACUAAGCUUUGGGGAAGUUGGCUUGAGUUUUGGGUACCAGUGUGGGUGAAGCUCCACCUCUCCAGAUGCUUUGUCUCUCAAGGAAAAAAGCCACUGGGGGUGAUUUUGAGGGGACAAAAUGACUGGAAAGGAAAGCGUCAAGCCAUCUCUUCCCUAUCCCCAAACUACCUUCACUCUGUCUGAAGCCAUUCACAGCUGCCAUGUGUAACAUAAAAAGAGCCCACAGGAAUGCAAAACAUGUUGGGAAAUAACUGGGGAAUACCAAUUAAUCCUGAAGUCCCACUACAAAGGAAAAAUGGCUGACUGCCUGAAUUAAAAAAAAAAAAGUGUGCAGGGCUUGACUCGCUCUUUAGCCAAAACAACCCCCAAGCAGAGUUUAAAACAUAUUUAUGACAUGUUUGCAAAGAAUGAGAAAUAUGAAUUGUGCCAGUAUUAAGCAUUUAUAGUUCUCCCCUGCCUUUAACCCUCAGACUGAAUAGACCACAACUUUAGUAAGUUUAAAUGCUUUACUUACAAUAAUCACAGGUCUCACUCAUCAUUCAACACCACAGCAGCAGCAACACAGGCAAGGGACAAAAGUUAGCCUCAAACACGCGGUCUGAGUCUGGAGCCCCAGCUCAGUUUAGCAGCUGGAUAGCUCAGCUGGUUAGAGGUUGCAGGUUUGAUUCCCGUAAGGGACAGCUGCAUGUUCCUGCAUUGCAGGGGGUUGGACUAGAUGAUCCUCAGGGUCCCUUCCAACUCUAUGAUUCUACAUGGUUCAAUGGGGAGAGUGAGGAGCAGGAAACAACCCUUAUUUCCUCCCUCCCCAAAGGUGAGAGGUCAUGACCAGUCUGAGUCUGCUCUUACUGGCAAUCAUGCACAGCUAUGGCUGACUAGAUGCACCUCCCACAGAACAUGCAAGAAGCUCAAUACAUUUUGUGGCCUGAGGAAAAGCAGCAAAUACUCGUGCUGUCUGCCAUAAAGCUUGUGAAGUGGAUCUGCCCCACCCAGUCGGACAGCUGGCUACACUCAGACAACGAAGUUGCCCCACCAGAGGCCCACCAGGGACCGGCUGCUUUUUUGUUUGAGUUUAUAACUUUAUUCUAAGAAGAUUCCCAUUGCAGACCUCAAGCAAGCUCUGCAUGGGCUUGCCAGGGAGAUACUUCUGAGCAAAGUAAUUUGACCAGCCUUGGGCACCAGCACGUACCUGAGGGUGUCAUUUGCCCCUCCACACCAGACAGCAAAACAUCUGGGCCCACCCCUGACAGGACCAGGGGCAGGGAGACCCCUCACCAACAGCUGCAAUCCCUGUUCCUUCCCUGCAGAGCUGUGUUUAAAAACAGGAGAGGGCAGAGAGAUCAAAUGCAAGCCCACAUUUUAAAAGAAAGCAAAAAGCAGAGGGUCAACAUUAGGAGCAUGAACUAUUAAAAUUUUCAUCAUUCGCUAAUCAGAUACAACUUCUUUGCAAUGAUUCAUUUUGGCAAGAGACAACACACAUAAUCAAUUGUUAAAAGUUGUUCUGUGACAUCAGCUUAUUAUCACCAUAGCAACAAUCAAACUACAUGUGUAUUUUUGAUAUGACUUAACUUGUAAUUAAGGAAGGGCUCCUGCAAAGCACACAGCAACCCACUUCCUUCUUAACAACUUUAUUGUAAAGUAAAAAUUCUGUAAGGUAAAAAUUUUGUUAACUCAGUCUGUGCUUAAGAAGUUUGUCCUGGGCAGGACUCUGUAGUUGCACGGAGAGGUGGGAGGAGUAAAAGGAAAAAAGAAAAAAUAUAUAUGCUGAGGGGAAUGUGACUGGGUGUUAUAAGUACAGGUCACCUUAAGUGUCCGUUGGGUCCAUUUCCUAUGGAUAUAAAAGGCUGCAUUUGAGAGGAAGCAGCAGAACACCACGGGGGGUCAGCAGGGAUACGACAGCCAGCACCAUUUCAAAGCCAGUACCAUUGGAGUCAUGUAUGGCAUUCUGUGGCUGGGGGGCAUCAUAACUAUAUUGCAUUAUUGGUAAAAUUCAAGAAAUUUGGUUUCACUGUCAAACAUUGGUCAAAUUAGCUGAAAUCAGGGGGCAGAGUCCUUUCCUCAGUAUUAGAUAGCAUGAAGUGCUUCAUAUAUUAGCACCAACUUGAAAACGGUCAAUUAUCUGGUGGAUUACGAAGAUGUUUUUAAAACACAAAUGUCAAAAAUCUACUUUGAUGGACUUGAGAUAUAUUUCCCAAUGAAAGAACCACAGAAAUAUAUGCACAAAAACAGCUUGUAAAAGUUGUCUGUUGGAAACAUCUGUGAACUCAACCAACUUUGGAAAUUAAGCCAUAAGAAUCUCAACCAGCUACACAUGGAUACUCAGCAAUUAUAUUAUGAGGGAGCUGACAAGUUAAAACAAGUCACUGCUGCAAAUGAAACUGGUAUUGUUAAAGGGGUUUUAUAGAAAUUUGUACAGUUUAUAGCGUUUUAUAGAAAUUUGUACAGUUUAACUUUUCUACUGUGGGAACCAAAAACAAACCCCUGUGUUUCAAUAAGAACCAAUCACAACAAUACAAACACAACACGUAGGUUAAAAGUUAGUGGAGAAUAUAUAAUAGAAUAAUGAUAUCAUUCAAAUUAUAGGAAUAAGCCAAUCAAAGUUCAUAUGUGCAAUAUAACAGAGUAGUAGAGUGGACCGUCAAGCCGUGUGUUCAAAACAGAUGUCUAAGGACAGUCUCACAAUAGUCUCUCAAAAGUUUCAACAGAAGACGUCUCAAAAGUUUCAAAAGCACAGUCAUACCUCAUGUUGCGUCCAGUUCAGGUUACGUGUUUUCGUGUUGUGUCCCACGGCAACCCGGAAGUACCGAAACGGGUUACUUCCAGGUUUCACCGCUCACGCAUGCGCAGACAUGGCACUUUGGCUUGUGUCAGUUCCAUGUUAUGGACGGGCCUCCAGAACGGAUCCUGUCCAUAACACGAGGUUCCACUGUGAAGUCUCUCAACAGUCUUUCAAAAGUUUCAACAGAAGACAUCUCAAAAGCCUCAAAAGUACAGUGUCUCCGGAAUGAUACUACUGUUUUGUAAUAGUCUUCACCAGCUGGAAAAAAGAUACAAGGCAUACAACCAUUUUGUUAUCAUUCAUUGGUUGUAUGCCUUGUAUCUUAUUUCUAGCUGAUGAAGACUGUUCUCCACUAACUAUUAGCCUACGUGUUGUGUUUCCUACUGUGGGAAACAUGAAAUGCACCAACUAAGGGCAUUUUACUGAUGGGAUUUAUAUACAGUACCGCCUUUCUGCCAAGAUGGUUUACAAUUUAAGCACUUAAACGAAUAUAUUAUAUUAAACGAAGACUGACAGAGUCCUCUCAUGCCAGCUGGCCUGGACACCCUUGCUCCUGCCUUCAUCCAUUAAAAUAUAGUUUAUGUAUCUGAGUAAAUAGUGUUCAUUGUUGUCAUAUUUACUGAUUGUGAGUAGAUAGUAUAAACAGCACAACUUUGAGUGUAAUUCCUCAGAUCCAUUAUCAGCAUAGAUCUACAUUUCUCUGUGUAAAGACUGGGGCUGGAAAGAAUGUAGAUUGCUUAGUUUGUUCAGGGGUGUGUGGCUUCUAAUCUCAGGUAGAUUUUGAGUUCAGAUUGUCUGAAUGUAUUGUUCCUGUUAUUUAGGCUGCUGUCCCUAAACAAUCCCUGGUGAGUAAACUCCAUUGAACACAAUGAGAUUUACUUCUGAGUAAACAUUCAGCUAGCUUGUGAAGAUUUAUUUGUGCGCUAUCCAGAUGUUCAGUGUGCUCUGAGAAAUAUGUUGAGUCUAUUCAGACUCAAAGCCGCACACUGUACCCAUCAAGCAGAUGGAGAAGGGGCCAGUGCAGGUUUGAGAGAUUCAAGCCGGAGGGUCCUGAGGGGUAGCUGGGGUGGCCUGUUGCAACAAAAAUGACAAUUUUGUGGCACCUUCAACACUAACAAGUGGAUUAUUACAGCAUAAGCUUUCAUAAAUUAAAAUGCACUUUGACGCUUCAUGAAGUGUUAUCUGAAGUUGUCAGGCAUAUAUCUACAUGGAGCUGUAAGGGGGAGAAUGGUGAGGAGUGACCACAGAAAAUAAGAAGAGCCUGCUACAUCCUGCCAAAGACUUAUCUAAUCCAGCCUUGUGGUCUCACAGCAGCCAACCAAAUGCUUAUGAGAAGUCACCAGGAGGACCUGAGUACAGCAGCGCACUCCCAGAGAGUAACGCCAGAUGGAAAUGAAAAGCAAAAAAUACAGAAUUUGACAAUUACAUAAAUGCCCCGAAGCGUUAAAUGCCCAUUAACAAAGCAGAGUGGGUGAAAAUGCAAACAUCUGGCAUUGGUAAGUCAAAGAACAUCCCAAGCAACAGCAUGUGUUUCUGAGACAACUUCCUGGGCCUGAUCCAGUAAAUCUUAGUUAGGAAUUAGUCAAGAGAAGCAUCCUGUAGACAGAUCAUGGACAUGUGCUAAAUCCCUGAUAACCUGCCAGUGCAUAAACACCCUCACUGAGUGCAUGUGUCAAUAGAUGCCAAGAAAGGAGAGAACAGAAAGGCCGAAAUGUGGCAUAAACAAAAAUAGACAUAUGGCAAGAGGUGGUUAUGACAAGCAUGUAGGUGUCAUAUAAAAAGUACCCAUUCUGCAAGUCAAAAGACUUUGCCAUAAGACUUAGUUAUCUAUUAUUUUACAGCUCUUUAAAACACACACUUUAUUUUAACACAUUAAAAAAAGCCCACAUAGGUUGGUAUCCAACUAAUUCAUUAAAUCAGCGCAAUGAUUUUUUGCUUGUGCAAAAGAACUUCCCAGCACACUCCCUAUGUGUGCCCCACACCUUCGCCUAAUAUGCUCUGGAGGGUAGGGGUGAACCAGAGCAAGUUUUGGAGUGGCAAAGGUGUAAGAAAGGAGAGAAGGUCCAUAGCACAAACAGAAAUCCUUGUGCUAAUGGAACAAAUUAGCUGGACACAGUCUAUAGUUUCUUGAAGGCAGAAUGUUUCCAUGAAAGCAACAUAACAUUCGUAUAAAGAUAAGGGAACUUAAAACCCACAACAAAACAGCAAUGUUUUUAUGGCAGGAAAUCACAACUAAAUAUAAAACUAAAUCAGAGUUAGUGAUCUAUGGCUGAAAGGCAAAGUUCUUGACAUUGUUGAUCCAGUUAAAACGGUGUUUUCCUUGCAUUAAUUUCCUAAGAAUUCUACCACACAACAAGUUUGUAACCAUGAAAAUACAUGGUCCAAAAGCUAAGGUCCAGGGGCAUGCAGAGUUGUGAACAUUAUAACCAUAACCUGUAUAUUUAAAAGGAAAUGACAAAUGACCGUUAAAAUGAAUAAUUGAAAAUUACAGAAAUAUGUAUGUGUUCACCCACAAAUAAGAAUUCAUGCCGGGGAAAAGUAUUGAUGCUAGAGCUUAAAGAUGACACCACUUGCUAGUUUGCAAUAGCUGAAGAGGAAACUCUUUGAGGACAUGGAUUGCACAAGCAUGACGCAGCAGCUAAAAAUAGAGGACAAGGGCCAAACUAGACAUGACAUGGCAGACCGUGCACAGGAUCUCCUUUUUUAAAAAAAAUAAUCUUUAUUGCUUUUAAAACUUACAAGAAAAGAAGAAAGAAGAAAAUAGGCGAAAGAAAAAGACAAAAUAGAGCAGAGAAGAAGAAAAAAAAGAGAGAAAGAAAAGAAAAAACAAUACAAUACAAUACAAUACAAUACAAUACAAUACAGUAAACAAUACAAAACACAACCUUAACACACUAAACUAAACAAAGCAAAAGAACAACAAUUUAAAAACAUAUAUCAUACCAUUUCAUUACUCUAUCUUUCAUUCCCUUAUUUCAUCGACCUCCUCUCACCUCCCUUUUUGUAUUCCACUUCUAUUACUUGUUUCAGCAAUUCCUUUCCAUCUUUCUCUAUUUUUAUCAUUAUGAAUAUCUUAACAUAUUUUGUACCUUAUUUUCCAUUAAUACUGAAAUACUUAUUUAUACCUAACUCCUUAUAACAUUUCUGCUAAAGCCAUAAAAUUUCAUUCCAACAAUUUUCUAACACUCAUUAAAUUUACAAUAUUUCUAUAUAUAAACUUUAAACUUUCCCAAUCUUCUACCACCAUCUCUUCUCCCUGGUCUCGGAUUCUGCCAGUCAUUUCCGUCCAUUCCAUAUAGUUCAUCAACCUGGAGAUCUUCUGUCCGAGGCUCUUAAAUCUUUUCCAAGUCCCUUCUGCAGUUUUUCUUCAUAUUCUUUGAUGCUGAGGGUGCUGAAGCGCAGGUCUUGGGGGGGCCCUGACCCAACCAUGCCCUCUCGACAGACCAACCAACUCUCCACAGCUAAAACCAGUGUCCAUACAAUAUCUCAAAUCAUGUUUCAAGGCUCCCCCAGAUCCAAAGGCCCCCACCACUCCAAUCACCUCCUGACCCAGAUUCAGGACCCAAAGGUCAGUAAAUCUCUGCAUGAAAGAGUCUAUCCAACCUUCCUUCUUCAAUCCAAACAGGGCUCCAAUCUUCAAAUUCUGACUUUUUCUAUAUUGAUUCAUAAAAGGCCUCCACUUAUAGUCCUCAGUUUGCCUCUGUAAAACUGGGGCUUCCACUUGUAUUAUUUUAGGUUUAACAACACCAACAUUCUCCUUCGUCUUCUCCCCAGUUUGUCCUGUCAAAGUAGGUUCCUGUGUCAAAUCCUGAACAAUUUCUGUUUUUAUGGUCACUUUUUGUUCCAAAUUAGUCACUUUUUGUUCCAAGUUCUCCAAGUUCUCAUAGCGUCCGUCUUCUUGUGGAGCUGUUCCAACGAAUAGCUUAUCUUACAUAAUACAGUCACUAAGACUCCUUCUGUCAACAUUCUUAAAGUCCAAGGUCGAUCUCUAUUUCACACAGUUCUUAUCUUGCAACUGGAAAAACCCCAGCUCCACUCUUGUAACUGUUUCAAAAGCUCCCUCUAGAGGGAAACAGUCUCCACUUGUAUCGAUCCUUUCAAACACAGUUUAAACUAUAAAGAUAGUUUCUUUUCCUACUUUUUAAACGCAGAUGAGUACAAUGGAAACAAUAUAUUUCUCUUAUUGCUAGCUGUCAAAAAACAUCACUCUUUCUGGCAGCCCAUUCCCAGGUUCGGAGCAGUGGUAAUUUGGUUUUUCACUCACUCCUGCAGGCUCACUAGGUCCAAAAUUUCCCCCCUCUUCUGCUUCCAAGGGGGGUUUAAUAGUUUUAACCGAUGGAGAUUUAAUCCUUUACAAAAAUAAACUUUCCAAGGCUUUAACUUGCAACUUCUUUGCUUCAAUCUGUUUACAAAAAAGGAAGGCAGACUUCCUGUUUAGAACCUUCCCGUUUCGAUGCCAAAUUAAUGAAUUUAAGGAUCUAAUUUUCCGUUCUACUCAUGGGUAGUUGUUUAAAAUCCACUUGUCCACAGGAAAAAGUCAGCGCUCUCCAGCAACAGCGAUGCGGCUUCACUCCGUGAAAGAAGCAGUCAAUUCGAAGCACCGCGCCACUCACCCUACUUUGCUCCGGAUCCCCAAAUCAGGGUUUUCCCGUGAGUAGGGGAGGCGCAAAGGGUGCCAGCCGAAUCCCAAGUUCACAGGCUUCUCCCGCCUGUGGUUUCAGUGGGUCUCCGCCUUCGCCGUGGCGGUCAGACCCUAAUUUCCACGGAGCAAAUUCCUCCCGAUCGGAGGAACUCCGCCAUUGCCUGGAGGCGCCAACCCGGAAGUCCGUGCACAGGAUCUCCUACAGGUUUGUUUUUCUAAAUGUUAGCAGCAGUCUUGGGGGAGGAGUGAUUCAAGUCAGACUCAUGUCCUAAAGAUAUUUUAUGCUUUUCUUGAAAUACAUUAUAAAACAGGGAAGCAAAAAAGAACAAAGAACUCCGGAUCCUAAAAAUAUAGAUUAUUGUAGGCCCAACAAUACAUAUUUUUAGCAAUAAUUCUCAUAAUAACAGUAUAAUUAUGUCAAUAACAGUAUAAUUAUGUGAAUAAUUCUCAUGUACAAGGAGAUACAUAGUUCUAGUUACAGGUAGGUAGCCGUGUUGGUCUGUUGUCUUUGUCCAUGGAGUUUUCUUGGCAGGGAUACUGGAGUGGCUUGCCGGUGAGAAAGCUAGAGAGUUCCUGAAAGACAUCUACUUCUGCUUCAUUGACUAUGCAAAAGCCAUUGACUGUGUCGACCACAGCAAACUAUGGCAAGUUCUUAAAGAAAUGGGAGUGCCUGAUCACCUCAUCUGUCUCCUGAGAAAUCUCUAUGUGGGACAAGAAGCUAGAACUGGGUAUGGAAUAACUGAUCGGUUCAAAAUUGGGAAAGGAGUAUGACAAGGCUGUAUAUUGUCUCCCUGCUUAUUUAACGUAUAUGCAGAAUUCAUCAUGCGAAAGGCUGGGCUGGAUGAAUCCAAGGCCGGAAUUAAGAUUGCCGGAAGAAAUAUCAACAACCUCAGAUAUGCAGAUGACACAACCUUGAUGGCAGAAAGUGUGGAGGAAUUAAAGAACCUUUUAAUGAGGGCGAAAGAGGAGAGCGCAAAAUAUGGUCUGAAGCUCAACAUCAAAAAAACGAAGAUCAUGGCCACUGGGCCCAUCACCUCCUGGCAAAUAGAAGGGGAAGAAAUGGAGGCAGUGAGAGAUUUUGCUUUCUUGGGCUCCAUGAUCACUGCAGAUGGUGACAGCAGUCACGAAAUUAAAAGACGCCUGCUUCUUGGGAGAAGAGCAAUGACAAACCUAGACAGCAUCUUAAAAAGCAGAGACAUCACCUUGCCAACAAAGGUCCAUAUAGUAAAAGCCAUGGUUUUCCCAGUAGUGAUGUAUGGAAGUGAGAGCUGGACCAUAAAGAAGGCUGAUCGCCAAAGAAUUGAUGCUUUUGAAUUAUGGUGCUGGAGGAGACUCUUGAGAGUCCCAUGGACUGCAAGAAGAUCAAACCUCUCCAUUCUUAAGGAAAUCAGCCCUGAGUGCUCACUGGAAGGACAGAUCCUGAAGCUGAGGCUCCAAUACUUUGCCACCUCAUGAGAAGAGAAGACUCCCUGGAAAAGACCCUGAUGUUGGGAAAGAUUGAGGGCACAAGGAGAAGGGGACGACAGAGGACGCGAUGGUUGGACAGUGUUCUUGAAGCUACGAACAUGAGUUUGACCAAACUGUGGGAGGCAGUGGAAGACAAGAUUGCCUGGCAUGCUCUGGUCCACGAGGUCAUGAAGAGUCGGACACGACUAAACAACUAAACAACAACAACAAAGCCGUGUUGGUCUGCCAUAGUCGAAACAAAAUAAAAAACUUCCUUCCAGUAGCACCUUAGAGACCAACUAAGUUAGUUAUUGGUAUGAGCUUUCGUCUGCAUGCACACUUCUUCAGAUAAACUGAAACAGAAGUCACCAGUGAGAGGGUGGGGAGGGGUAUUACUCAGAAGGGUGGUGGGAACGGGUGAUUGGCUGGUAGGUGUGGUUAAACUGUUGACUACUGUUAACGACUGCAAUUGGUCUUACAGGAAAAAGCAAGGGGUGAGAUAGCUAAAAAUAGCUUUAUCAUGUAUAAUGAGAUAAGAAUCCAAUGUCUCUAUUCAGACCAGAUCUCUCCAUGGUUUUAAGUUUGGUAAUGUGCUGGUCCCCGGGGGGGGGGGGGGUUACCGUGCGGCAUGUUCUGAGUCCGGUCCUGGGUCAAGCGUCUGGAAGCUGUCCGUUGAGGGUGAAGCGGGGUCCAAGACAAGGGGCUGGGCGUGGUCAGGAACUCAGAGAGAGCAGAUCAGAGUGCUGGCAGGAACAGGUUUCCAACGAUGUUGCUCCCGCAACCUGGGACUGGGCUGACUGGCCUGUAUCUCCUCUGAGGCCUAGGGCGGUCCCGGCCCACAGGUGACUCACCUCUCCUUGCCUUAAGGCGAGCACUCCUCCUGUGAGAACUUAGUUCCCUCCGCCUCUCUGCCCUGAGCCUCUGCAGCUCUGGAGAGGCUGGAAGGUUACUGGACCCAGAGGCAACCUCACCUUCCUCUGACAGGGCGGAGAGAGGCGCACCUGCAGGCAAUGGGUCCUCGAUCACCUCUGGAGCCAGAGCAGAUUCAGCUGGUGUCUGCUCCUGAGGAUCCGGCACAGGUGCAGGCACUUCAGAUUCAAGGCCCUGCCCCGGCUCAGCUGGUCCUGGAGGUGGGGACUCCUGUGCAGGCUGGGAUUCCUCCGGUUCAGCCUCUGAAUCAGAUUCCCAGGCCAUCACAGGUAAUAAGUUGCAAUUCAGCAACUUCUCUUUCCAAUCUAUUUCUGAAAUUCUUUUGUAAUAAGACAGCUACUUUGAGAUCUUGUAUAGAAUGUCCUGGGAGACUGAAGUGUUCUCCUACUGGUUUCACUGUCUUGUGAUUCCUCAUAUCAGAUUUAGGUCCAUUUAUCCUUUGGCAUCCCCUUCAUGGAUCACUGCCUUGCCAUGGUGAAGGGGCUUGAAUAACUCAGAGAAGCUAUGAACUAUGCCGAGCAGGGCACCCAAGAUGAACAGGUCAUAGUGGAGAGUUUUGAGCAAACGUGAUCCACCUGGAGGAGGAACCGGCAAGCCACUCCAGUAUCCCUGCCAAGAAAACUCCAUGGACAAAGACAACAGGCAUAUAAAAGUUAUGACGCUGGAAGAUGAGCCCCUCAGGUUGGAAGGUGUCCAACAUGCUACUGGGGAAGAGCGGAGGACAAGUACAAGUAGAUCCAGAGCUGAUGAAGCGGCUGGGCCAAAGCCGAAAGGACGCUCAGUUGCGGAUAUGCAUGGAAGUGAAAGGAAAGUCCAAUGCUGUAAAGAAAAAUAUUGCAUAGGAACCUGGAAUGUAAGAACCAUGAACCUGGGUAAGUUGGAUGUGGUCAAAAAUGAGAUGGCAAGAAUAAAUAUUGGCAUCCUGGGCAUCAGUGAACUAAAAUGGAUGGGAAUGGGCGAAUUCAGUUUGGAUGACUAUCAUAUCUACUACUGUGGGCAAGAAACCCAUAAAAGAAAUGGAGUGGCCCUCAUAGUCAACAAAAGAGUGGCGAAAGCUGUACUGGGAUGCAAUCUCAAAAAUGAUAGAAUGAUCUCGAUACGAAUCCAAGGCAGACCUUUUAACAUCACAGUAAUCCAAGUUUAUGCACCAACUACUGGUGCUGAAGAAACUGAAAUUGACCACUUCUAUGAAGACUUACAAGACCUUAUAGAAGUGACACCAAAGAAGGAUGUUCUUCUCAUUAUAGGGGAUUGGAAUGCUAAAGUAGGGAAUCAAGAGAUAAAAGGAACAACUGGCAAGUUUGGCCUUGGAGAGCAAAAUGAAGCAGGGCAAAGGCUAAUAGAGUUCUGUCAAGAGAACAAGCUGGUCAUCACAAACACGCUUUUCCAGCAACACAAGAGACGACUCUACACAUGGACAUCACCAGAUGGGCAGCAUCGAAAUCAGAUUGAUUAUAUUCUCUGCAGCCAAAGAUGGAGAAGCUCAAUACAGUCAGCAAAAACAAGACCUGGAGCUGACUGUGGCUCAGAUCAUCAGCUUCUUAUAGCAAAAUUCAAGCUUAAACUGAAGAAAGUAGGAAAAACCACUCGGCCGGUAAGAUACAAUCUAAACCAAAUCCCUUAUGAAUACACAGUGGAAGUGAGGAACAGGUUUAAGGAUUUAGAUUUGCUGGACAGAGUGCCUGAAGAACUAUGGGUGGAGGCUCGCAACAUUCUACAGGAGGCAGCAACUAAAACCAUCCCAAUGAAAAAGAAAUGCAAGAAAGCAAAGUGGCUGUCCAACAAGGCCUUACAAAUAGCAGGGGAGAGAAGGCAAGCAAAAUGCGAAGGAGAUAGUGAAAGAUACAGGAAAUUGAAUGCAGAUUUCCAAAAAAUAGCAAGGAGAGACAAGAAAGCCUUCUUAAAUGAGCAAUGCAAAGAAAUAGAGGAAAACAACAGAAUGGGAAGAACCAGAGAUCUGUUCAAGAAAAUCGGAAAUAUGAAAGGAACAUUUCGUACAAAGAUUACCAUAAUAAAGGACAAAAGUGAUAAGGACCUAACAGAAGCAGAAGACAUCAAGAAGAGGUGGCAAGAAUACACAGAAAAAUUAUACCAGAAAGAUAUGGAUGUCUCGUACACCCCAGGUAGUGUGGCUGCUGACCUUGAGCCAGACAUCCUGGAGAGUGAAGUCAAAUUGGCCUUAGAAAGCAUUGCUAAUAACAAGGCCAGUGGAAGUGAUAUUAUUCCAGCUGAACUAUUUAAAAUUUUAAAAGAUGAUGCUGUUAAGGUGCUACACUCAAUAUGCCAGCAAGUUUGGAAAACUCAGCUGUGGCCAGAGGAUUGGAGAUCAGUCUACAUCCCAAUCCCAAAGAAGGGAAGUGCCAAAGAAUGCUCCAACUACCGCACAAUUGCACUCAUUUCACACCCUAGCAAGGUUAUGCUUAAAAUUCUACAAGGUAGGCUCAACCAGUAUGUGAACUGAGAACUCCCAGAAGUGCAAGCUGGAUUUAGAAGAGGCAGAGGAACCAGAGACCAAAUUGCAAACAUGCGCUGGAUUAUGGAGAAAGCUAGAGAGUUCCAGAAAGACAUCUACUUCUGCUUCAUUGACUAUGCAAAAGCCUUUGACUGUGUUGACCACAGCAAACUAUGGCAAGUUCUUAAAGAAAUGGGAGUGCCUGAUCACCUCAUCUGUCUCCUGAGAAAUCUCUAUGUGGGACAAGAAGCUACAGUUAGAACUGGAUAUGGAACAACUGAUUGGUUCAAAAUUGGGAAAGGAGUACGACAAGGCUGUAUAUUGUCUCCCUGCUUAUUUAACUUAUAUGCAGAAUUCAUCAUGUGAAAGGCUGGGCUGGAUGAAUCCGAAGCUGGAAUUAAGAUCAUCGGAAGAAAUAUCAACAACCUCAGAUAUGCAGAUGACACAACCUGAUGGCAGAAAGUGAGGAGGAAUUAAAGAACCUUUUAUUGAGGGUGAAAGAGGAGAGCGCAAAAUAUGGUCUGAAGCUCAACAUCAAAAAAACGAAGAUCAUGGCCACUGGGCCCAUCACCUCCUGGCAAAUAGAAGGGGAAGAAAUGGAGGCAGUGAGAGAUUUUACUUUCUUGGGCUCCAUGAUCACUCCAGAUGGUGACAGGAGCCACGAAAUUAAAAGACGCCUGCUUCUUGGGAGAAAAGCAAUGACAAACCUAGACAGCAUCUUAAAAAGCAGAGACAUCACCUUGCCAACAAAGGUCCGUAUAGUAAAAGCUAUGGUUUUCCCAGUAGUGAUGUAUGGAAGUGAGAGCUGGACCAUAAAGAAGGCUGAUCGCCAAAGAAUUGAUGCUUUUGAAUUAUGGUGCUGGAGGAGACUCUUGAGAGUCCCAUGGACUGCAAGAAGAUCAAACCUCUCCAUUCUUAAGGAAAUCAGCCCUGAGUGCUCACUGGAAGGACAGAUCGUGAAGCUGAGGCUCCAAUACUUUGGCCACCUCAUGAGAAGAGAAGACUCCCUGGAAGACCCUGAUGUUGGGAAAGAUGGAAGGCACAAGGAGAAGGGGACGACAGAGGAUGAGAUGGUUGGAUGGUGUUCUUGAAGCUACCAGCAUGAGUUUGAUCAAACUGCGGGAGGCAGUGGAGGACAGAAGUGCCUGGUGUGCUCUGGUCCAUGGGGUCACGAAGAGUCGGACACGACUAAACGACUAAACAACAACAUCCUUUGGCAUAGGGUUUAGCCUGUUUGUCCAAUAUAGAGAGCUGAAGGGCACUGUUGGCAUUUGAUGGCAUACACAAUGUUAGAAGAUGAGCAAUUAAAUAGGCCUGAGAUGGUAUGUUUGAUUUGUUGGGGCCAGUAAUGGUGUUGUCCUGGUGUAUGUGGCAGCAAAGUUGGGAACUGGCUUCCAAUAUAUAUAGAAUUCUACUUAGCAUAGAAUCAGCCUCUUCUUAGGGGCUACAAUUAGUGUGGGAGAAUGAUCUGGAUCUCUGGAUGAGGAAAUAAGUACAGGAAGCGAUGUGGUCUAAACCCCCACUUGAAACGAUUUCUGUAAGAAUACAGGAACGCAUGCUGAAAACAGUGUUAAGAUGACAUUGGAUUACACUCUGCUUAUCGAGGGCGCCGCUAGGGGCGCCUUGGAAGAUGGCUGACAAUACCAUCUCUCCGGCUCACACGAGGUAAUUAAGGGGCUGAUGAUGGGAGUAAAUCAGCCUCCCAGGGUCUCCCCAGGGGAUGGGGAGACACAGCCUCGUCCAAGGUUGCCAAUAAAUCACCCCCGAGUUCGAAAGAAGGAGGGGUGGGGGCACUGGACGGAAAGCCCUCGAGUGAGAUUCUGGAUCUCCCAGACGCUGCUUCUGAGUGCGACCUAGUUGCAUUGCUUAAGAUAAAAUAAUUGGAUGUAAAAAGUAAAUGCACAUGUUUCGAGCAAAGGAAAGGGUGUUUUAUCUGCUAAUCAAAUCUACCGCUGAGAAGUUAAGAGUGAUGGGAUGGAUUGAACAGAAGACUACGGCAAAGAUCACAGCUAUGUCGGUAUGUUGAAACGGAACGGAAGGGAGGGGGAAAACUUCUUCUUUUUCAAUAUGUUUUACCUAACAACCCCUCCCCUAGAAGAACCGUCACAAUGAUUUAUAGCAAGUGAGACUGGAAAAUAAACUGUGUGGAAACAAAGAUUAAUUAAAGGCUUUGCUUUGUGGAAGAUUUGGAAAGGAAACAAAAGGCUUUUUUGGUGACGCAGUCAUAAAUCGGGAUCCGCCAUUAUGAGACAGACUUUGUUGCGAGAUUUACAGUCAAAGGGGGAGGUGAGCCACUGUUCUGCUAUCUUGUUUGGAUUAUAUGUCUAUUUGGCAAUAUCCCCCCUGGAAAGACUGAUUUAUGGAGCAACUGGUCUGGGAAAAUUAAUGAGCAGACGCUUAGACUUUAUUUCAUCGGAACUGUCGAAAUGGCGCCUGCCGUGCGAAUAAGACUUUUGGAUCAACGUGUAAGCCCACACAGAAACAUAAUAUUGUUUGCUUCAUCUCGCUUGUAGAAACAACUCAGAGGUUAUUUAGAAGAAAAAUGAUAACAACGAGAAGAGUGGAAGCUGGGACUUGUGAAAUAUUAAAGCAGCAGAAAUAUGAGAUGAUUGGACCCUUUCUGAACUCGAAGCAUGGGUACCCCCAACAAAAAUUUAAAAUUCGGCAAAAUAUUUGGAUUUUUAUGAUAUGUAUUGGUUUAAUUUGGAGUAAUUAAUGUGAUAUGAUUGGAUUGUUAAAUGGAAAACUAAUAAAAAUAUUUUUUUUAAAAAAAAAGGAUUACACUGCGCUUAUCCAGAAAUGGCAACGGUUGCUUUAAUUUAUGUUGUUGGGGUUGUGGUCACACUAGAACAUUGCUUCAUAUGUGGUGGGAUUGCUUCAGUUCAGAGAUUCUGGACCCAAAUUUUUGACACUAUUUCCACCAUCACCUCUCAGGUACUGUCUCCAGACCCAGCCCUGGUGCUCCUGUCCUUGGAGCCUGGUACCAGCUCACCCAUCAUGCACAAAUCUCUUGCGUUUAUGCUACUUACUGCAGCCAGAAUGCCAGUGGCUUCCCAUUGGAAAUCCAAUUCACCACCUUCCUGAGAGGAGUGGCCUGCGAAAGUAUGGGAUAUUGCACUGCCAAAACACCUGGCGCACAAACGGAGAGUCCUUAAUAGUUCAUCAAAAAUAGACUACUUUUAUUUGACUUGGUAUAAGUUUUUCUCUUGUGCUAACUAGUUUGCACAGCCCAAUAAACCCCUUGCUCCAUAUAUAAAUAUGUUGAGAGGCUUUAUCCAGAACUAAUUUGACUCACCUUUUUCUUCUUGUAUGUGAUAAAUGUACGUGGCACUGCAUUCUCAGUUUUAACCUGGUUUUCCCCUCUCAUUUUAUUUUUGUUUUUAUUUUUUACAUUCAUUAUUCUUACUGCAUUUCAUAUGCACAUGUCAAUAACCAUUCUUUAUGAAAAAUGACCAUAAUAAUAAAGUUUCUUAUUCAAAAUGAAAAACUCUUUAAUAUGUGAUACUGAAGUAUCCUUUUGGUCACAAUAUAAUGCAAAAUAUGCCAGCUUUCGGAGGUGCAUCUUUUGGACUCCAGUGCUCCUGUGAAAUUCUGAUGCUUCCCUAGCAACUUGCUAGAGCAGCAAACGGAUGAUAUCAUUGCUCUUCUGCAGUGCACACUGUUUUUUCAUAAUAUGGAUAAGCCAGCCAAAGAAAUCGCCUGCACUGCAAACCACUUCUUAAAGUCAUACAUUGUUUUGAUGAACCCAAAAUAAGCAGGAUGAUGUUCUGAAUCUCUGUAUCCCAGUUUUGCUGUCACUGCACUCAAUAGGGCUUAAACAGAGGCUAGGCUCCCCACUCUACCCGUUUACUCCUGAAUGUGAGUUUAGUUUGAAAUCCCAGCUUUGGAAGGGAAGCAUGCCAUCUAACAGGAGAAAUGUAGGAAAGGAAAACAAAUUUGUAAUGCUCAGCUCUGCCUUGAUACCAAAAAGAAACAAUCCAAGAAUCCUUAUUCCAUUUCUGUGAAGCAACUAGGGUUACAUUAACAGUUUGUCCUUUAAAAGCAUGUUUGCUCAGAUUUUUAAGUGUUUGUGUUUUCAUAUAAACAGGAAACAAAAUCCUAAAUAGCUCAAAUGAAACCAAAUCCUAUGACUUUUUAAAAUUAAAAACAAAAUCAAUCUCUCUCCUCUCUUUCCCCUAUAAGUGUGUGGUUCCUGAGACAAAGUGGGCUGGAUAAGUUCAACCUCAGUUCACAGAAGAGAACAUUCUGUUCUCUGCACAACAGGCAGGACUGCUGUAAAACAAGAUCAACAACAUGAGCUCAGCAGCAGCAGAAGCCCCACAAUAGAGACGGAGAAUUAGUCAGAGGAUUGCUCCAUCUACAUUGGAAACACACAGAGACAGGAGUGCACAUGGAUGUGAGAUCAAGGUCAGUGAAUUAGCUGACUUUCUGCCCUAGGAGCUGUAUUGUUGUUCUCCACUUGAAAGGGCUUCUCCCCUCCUCCCUCAAUUUAAUUACAGCUAAGGCAAGCCCAAGGAAACAAUUCUCUGCCCAGUCACAAUACGCUCACAUGUGCUUUGUGCAGAAGGCAGUUAAAGUGCGUCAGUAUUUUUUGUGUCACACGUCUCUGAGUGCUGGAUUCCACCAAGAUUUUUCACUGCCCUAUCUUAAUCUCAUUGAUUUCAGUGGGAUUGCACAAAAUAAUUCAACACAGAAUUCACCGGGUUAGUGUUUUGGAUUAAAAUGGACAAGAAUCUGUUUCCUUUACAAAUGGAGAUAAAUAUUUUACUGUCCCUUCCAAGCCCUCAUCUGUUCAAUUAAACCUAUUAGCUACCACAUCUUAACCUUUAUUAUUCAGAAUGGUCAGUGAUUAACUGUUCACACACUUCCAAGACCUUGCCAAAGGUCAGAAGCAAUAUGAACCUUAUUAUAUGUCUUGCAUCUUAAAAUCCGUAUUUGCAGAUGCAUUCAGAUGCCAUGCAUGAGCUUAUCCCACACUGAUGUUGCACAUUCAGCACAGCUUUGCAAAGCAGUUGGAAGAAUGGUCUCUCGAAGGUGGCGUGCACAUAAUCCAUCCUAUGUAUUUAUUCUUAAAAGGCCUAGGGCUGCUCCAAGACACUUUGCUGCUUGCAGCAAGGGGCAAGAUAGAAAAAAACCCUCCCCAAAUUCCACAUACAGAAACUGAGUGCACUGACAGAUGAAUCUUACUUCAGUGCUGUUGACACGACAGGGUCCUCUACUAGGGUCCUCCGCUGCACCUGAGAGCAGCAGACUAGCAUAGGGAGCAUAGGAUAGCCCAGGUGGCCCCUCUUGCCACUCCCUGCCACUCAGCAUCCACCACCUGAAGCUGCCUCGCUCUGCCUGAAUGGUAGGGCUGGCCUUGAACAGAGGCAGUUCUAAAAGCUGCUGCUUCUGUUACACAAUACUGUAACUGCAUCCUAGUCAGUUCCAUAUAGCAAGCAGAGAGAUAAUCAAAGACCAGGGCUUGGGCUGCGAGAGGCGAUUGGCUGCAUAGGCACAUCGUAUCCUGUGACUGGCCUGGCCACAGUAUAAAGUAGGUAUUUUAGAUGUUCAAAAACCACUAGUGUGUAAUAAUCAUUUUUGAAAAUUUACAGAAUGCAUUGACAUUUCCUGCCAGGAAUUCGUGAGGCAGCUCUUACAAUGUGUUUCCUUUAAAAAAUAAAAUGGGAGUGUUGGAAGUUAGGUGAAACAAGGGAAGUUGUCAUCCUCCCUUGUGACCUUUCCAUGCAAAUUGUAACAAAUCUCUACCCCAGCAGGCACCAGAUGUAGCAUGAAGCUCUGACAGCCUUCUUCCUCACAAACUAACCAAUCUUUUCUGUCUUUGCAUGCCUUGCAAAUCUGGGUGCAAGGGCUAUAGAAGGCAAACAUUCCAAGCUAUGAAGAGGAGUGAGGGAAGAAAUCCUGUGUAACAAGAAUUGGAAGCGGCAUGCCUUUUUUUUCCAAAAUUGCAACUUGAGGAUGUCACUGCGGUUGUUAUCACGAAAGCUCAGAAUCCUGUCAAUCACAGUCAGGACCAAUUUGGACAACAGUGCUCCCCACAAGGAGCCCUCAGAACACCUAACCCAGCAGGAGGCUAAGGAAAGGCUUAUGCAUUUUCUCUUCCUCUUUUUCCAGGCUGCCUGUGCUUUCUAGCCUCACAUCCCUCAACAAUAGCAGGCACUGAACAAAUAGAGUGCAUGACAGGGGCUACAGGAAAUGGAGCGCAGAGAUAGGUGCCAUCAGUAUAACAACAGCCCCAAAUUCCAGGUUCCUCCUGAUCUUGUCCAACGACAUCAUAUACACAGAGAUGAUAUGUAAGAGGUGGUGAUCUGACCACUCCUGAAAAAACCAACCCUGGACCCAGGGCUUUGUGGCUGCUACUGCCGGCUCGCAAAUACCCCAUUUCCAGGACAUGGGAUUGGAAGGGUUGUGGUGCAACAGCUGCAAUGAAACCAGUUCUCUGGACCCGUUCCAACAGGGAUUCAAGCCUGGUCAUGGAAAUGAAUUGGCCUUGGUCACCCAGAUAGAUGGCCUUCGUAGAGAGGACAGGAAGAAUAUGACCCUGCAAUUCUUACUUGGUCUUUCAGAGGUUUUUGAUACCAUUGACCAAGGCAAAGGCACAGCAUGGGAGGGGCGAAGGGGACCGUUGCCCCAGGCACAGUUUUUCCCAGGGCACGUUUUGCUCCUCACACCACCCCUGCCAGCCCCGCGCUGCUUUGCCAGCGUGGGGCUGCCAGGGCAUCAGGAGGAUGCAAUAGGCAUGUGCCCUUCCCAUCAGUUGGAUUGGGCGGAUUGGAAGGGUGCUUGCCUACCCUGCUGACCCUCCUCACAUUGCCCUCUGUGCCCCGCCCCGCCCCCAGCACAACUGGACAAGCCCACCUCAGACACUGGGAAGAUGCGCUUCGCCAGUGGACUAGGGUAGCCUCCCAAACCAACAGUGUAAGACGGGUAUUGGGGACACUGUUUUGUAGUGACUAAAGUCCUGUCUCCAGAGUUGGUUUCAAAUAAUAGUGUUGGGUGGUUAUCUCUUGGCCCCCUGGCAGUUGUGCUGUGGGGUCUCUGGGGUAGCAUCCUGUCCCUGAUGCUGUUGGAGAGAGAGGUUUGGAAGAGAGAUUCUUUACUCUCUUAUAGCAGAAUUAAGCACAAUGACAAGUGCUACCAAGCACAUUAAAACUUGGUUAGAUUUACAUCUGCCCUCAUCCACCUUUAAACAAACAUUCUCCACAAAAAUACUUAGGCUAGAAUAAAUCGCCAGCACCUAGUAUUGCAAAUAAGUGAAGAUUUUACUCAUAGAGUUUCAGGAGUUACAGCAGACAAGUCUCCAUCUGUUGGCAGUAAAACAAAGAUAAAAUGAUUCCAAAUGCUUCAAAAGAAAGGACUUGGUUUCCUUGCAAAAAAGAUCAUGCAAUCUUUGGGUUAGCAAAAUCAGGCUAUGAAAAUCUAUUUUUGGAGAGAUCCAGUUCAUUUGGCUUUUCCUGCAGAUGAGAGUCUUGCUGCAGCUUGUUCUAGGAAGCAGAGAGAAAAGGAAAGGGGGUGGGAAGCAAAGGCUGCUGGGAUCCUGUUAAGCUCCACCCGCAGGCAACUUGAGCUCUAGGUUGGAUUGCUGCAAUGUGCUUUGUGUGGGGCUGCCGUUUGAGGUUGACUUGGAAGCUGCAACUAGGGUAAAGUGGGGAGCUCCAUUGCUCACUGGAGCAGAAUAUCAGCAUCCUCUGACCCCACUGCUCCAAGAUUUGUAUUGGCUGUCAAUUAGCUACUGGGUAAGGUUCAAGGGGCUAGUUUUGGUAUACAAAGCCCUAUACAGCUUGGGACCGGGAUACCUAAGGGGCUGCAUCCCCUAUAGACAGUCAAACAUGGCAUUCUGCAGGAAAGGGCAUCCUGCAGAGACCAUCCUACCGAAAGGUCUGUUCUGCAUGAUGUCAGAAUUGGGCUCUUUCCUUUGGAGCGCCUUCCCUUUGCACAACAGACAAGCACCUUCUCUAUUAUUUUUUUAGCACCUGCUAAGGAAAUUACUCUUUCAACAAGCCUUCUAAAAUCUUAAUCCCAGUUGGUAUCUGUCAUGGAUUUACAUGAUUUUAUACAUGUGUUAUUGUUGUUUUAAACUGUUUUUUAUUUAUAAUUUUGAUUGUUUGCAUAUAUACAAUUGUGUUAACUGUUUUUUUUUAUGUGUGCAACACUUUUAUAUAUGUGCUUAUAUUGUAAAUCGCUUCAGGAUGCCACAUGGGAAGCAAUUCAUAAAUGAAAUGAAAUUUAUAAAUAAUAGAGGAGAUUAAGAAAAGAACUUGCAAAAUAUAUCAAGAUAGUUGACAAGCGCCAUGCUUGAGUACAUCCCAUCGAGGAAAUAUCAGUGCUUAAACAGAGGAAGAACCAAGUUCUACCAUGUGGCUUUGACCUGGCAAAAUGCAGUCAAACUUGUAACAUACUCAUUCCUGCGCUACUACCAAUCCAUCCACACACACCAAAUUUGUGGGCGAUACUUCUUGAAACUAAGCCCAGAUAGAAGGCUGUGUUUUACACAUUAAAUGUGCAGUUCUGACUCACCCGUUGCACAGAAUUCAUGUUCCUUUUCUCAGGGAGGUUCUUCCAUUUUUUAGAGACUACACUUUUACAACACUUGUAUAUUUGUGAUAGUGAAUGUGGCUUAAAAUUCCUGAUUCCUACCACAUUGUAAGCUUUGUUAAAGUAAUUUUAAACUAAGCUAAGCUUUUCCCAUUCCUCCUGCCAUUUUGCGAACAUUUUGCUGUUGUAAUAUUCAUUCUUAUUUCUGUUAAUUUUUUGAAGGCUGCAUAUUUCCCCUCUGCAGCACUAGAUCAUACAUCUUUCCCUGUUUUUCUGUUUUUUUAAGUGAGUCAGCUAUUCCCUGCAGCAAGUCUGCUUCUCCUUUCCUCUCCAUUAGAGGAAAGUCGGAGGACAGCAUCCUCCUGGUGCUGGGUUGGAGUUACUGUUAAUUCUCUAAUCAAAUCGCAGCUCAAGCGUCAAGAAAAAUAUACAAGCAAUUCUGUCUGCAAGAUCAGUACACACGGAAAAUUGUUAAAGUAGGCAGAUGACAACUUAGCUAGAAGGAGAAAGCAGCCAGAAUUUGCUGGGUAUUCACCACACAGAACAGUUCUGACAGAUGACACUUCCCCAUUGCAAUGGCAACGAAGACAUUCUUACAUUACUGUCAGUGCUGUGGAAAAGCUUUUUAAGAUCUCUCCUGCAAUUGGUUGGCUUCAAUGCAAAUUGAGAGCCACCUGCCUGCUAGAUGUCCACCUUUCCACUUCACUCCCCUUGGCUCUUCCACUGCAGAGCCCUGGUGCAGUGAAGAAUUAAAGCUCUAGGCUUCUUCACAUGGCACAAACAUUCUAGGGAUGAAAAUGCCCAUCCUGGCAUCCAUAAAAGGUGGUGGGUAUGUUUAAGGGUAUGUGUCUGAUAUCAGACAGACGGAGCCAGUGCUAGCAGGAGCUGAUCAGGAAGAGCAAACAGUCAUUCAUGUGCUAUGGAUUUUGGAGGGAGCAUUUACUGAGCCCUUUCAUGGGUGCUAUAGGAGGCACCGGUGGGAACAGCUCAGAAUGCAGGCACCACUCCGGCGACUCCGGCAUAGGUAAAUGAGCCAUUAAAAUGUCUGUCCUUUAGCUCUGCCCGUCAUUUCACCCUACCAGGUCAGAGUUUGAUCUGAGCAUGGUCAUUAUCACUCUUUUGAUUCAUGUCAUGCCUGUGUACCUUGGGCCUGGCAUUAGUGUUUGGCAUUUCUAGGUAUCUGUCAAUGUCCAUCGCUGAAUAGAGUGAGAGGAGUUAGCCUGUUUCUGCUCCCCCACAGAAACCAGCCAGCUCUGCACAGCCCCCAAAUGUCUGGAAAAGGCAGUGGGACUAGGACAGUGGGACAUUGCUCUUGUUGAAAAAUGGGAAAUGGUCCCAGAGGCCCCUAAGAUGAAGCAGAAACUACUGGGUUGAUCUCCCAUUUCCUUAUUAGAGAAGCACCUAGCAACAGCAGAGGAUGACACUUCAUACCCGCCAACAUUUCUCCGAUGAAAAUAGGGACGUCCCAUUCCAUGAUGACCAUUUUACUGUAUACCCUAGCCACUCUGGGCAGCUUCCAACAUAUAUAAAAACAUUAAACAUUAAAAAAAAUCCUUCCCUAUACAGGAUUGCCUUCAGACAGCUUGGGGGGUUGGAUAACUCCAUACCCUCCAACAUUUCUCCAAUGAAAAUAGGGACAUCCAAAGGAAAAGCAGGAUAUUCUGGGAUCAAAUCAGAAACUGGGAGAGCUUCUAUAAAUCAGGGACAUCUAAGGAAAAUAGCGACACUUGGAAAGUCUGACACUUUUGCACUCCUUUGGGCCCUUCCAGCAUCCAACUCCCUAUUUCAAAGUGUUAAUAUCACAAUAAGUUAAGCGGUAGCAAAACCAAAAGAAAUACAUGACAUUUGUUUCCUCUUCUGACACUGGGUGCUGCUCUCAUUGGGAAAUAGGGGACUCCACCACCACCCCAGUGUUAUUACAGGAACGAUGGAGGUGAUCAGAGGGAGUGGAGCCCAAAAGAGUGAGCCUUUCACUUUGCUUCCUUCAGCCCCUUUGUCUAGGAAACUAGAGAUUGCCUUGGGAAGCGUACCUGGUGGCUGAGUGACAAUGCAGCCUCCUCGCAUUUUAAUGGGGGAUGAGUGAACAUAGGUAGGACCCCACAGUAUACAUUAGAGUUCAUUCUAGAAACUUUAUAUUAUUGAAGUUAUUCACAGGGUUGCAUCAAGUUUUUGCAGCUCAUGUGAUAUAAAUGCAAACCACUUUUGUCUGUUCAUCACACUUUUCAUGUGCAGCCACUGUAUUUAAAAAUGCCACCUCCUCUUUCCAUUAUUGACUGUCAUCUGCUUCCACUGACUUGGCAAACCCACAGGAAGGCUUUGAUCAUGUUCAGACGGGGGAGGAGGGAAAGAACCGUAUUCUGUUCACCCUUCUUCAUGUGAAUGGAUUAUCUUCUGUAUGAAUACUGUUGCCACAUUAGUACCCAAAUAUUCAUAAUUAAUUUCUGGAAGUAUCCAUGUUUUGAUUUCUGCUUCAAAGGGAUUCUUUCAAAGCAGUUUUCUUUGCUGCUUUUAUCAUACCCAAAUGAUGUACAGCCUGAGUUCUAGAGAUGCUCUUUUGAAACGAAGGGCUUUCCCCUAACAUCAGUGCACUAGGGGAAACACGGCACGAUCCAGCCAAGUUAAGCAUUAAGCCCGACUAAACUCAGUGAGAGUGCACGGAUCAGUGGCAGUUAGAAUUGCUUUCCUUUGAAUGGACCGUCCCCAUAAUGAAUAUGUUCUUUUGUAAACCACCUUGGUUAGUCUCUCUCCCCACCAUGCCCCAAUAUUUACUCAACCUCAGUCUUGGUUUCUGUGUUUCCUUUGUAGGUGUAAAGCUAAAGGAAUUUGUCAGGGGGCUGCCAGCUUUCAGAACCAACACACAUGGCAAAAACUGCAGGUCUACAAUAAAUGAGAACUGACUUCACAGAGACACUUUGAUUUAUACUACCCCCCCACACACACACACAAAUUUUCCAGGUUCUUAAAUUCUAGCAACACUAAAACAAUUUAUUCUGCUUGCAAAAGAUGAUUUAUUCCAAGUAUUGUUGUGGCAUUGCAUAAAGCAUUACACAUAUGCAGGGCUGGCCCAGAACAUUUCGUUGCCUGAGGCAGAGCACCAAAUGGCAUCCAGCAACCACCCACCCACCGAUCAAGUCAUGGUGUAAAGGUUCCAAGGCCAGCCAAGUUAUUUUGGCACCUGGGUCUGAACAUCCCACAAGAACCUCUCCCCCUCCCUGGCAGAAAAACACAACAACAAUAAAUAAAAUAACUCACAAUUUUCUACCUUUUCAUAGCACCCAAAAUCCACAGAAAUUGACUAGACCAUGAAGGUUAUGCCACAAUAAAUUUCUUAGUCGUUUUAAAGUAGCACCCAUUGUUUUGCUAGAAUACAUGGUGUUCCCCUAAAUCCUUAUUGCCCAAGUACUACUAGCUUCUUGUUCUGAAAUCCAAAUUGUGAACACAGGAACACAGUACUAAUUUCAAAGGUUUACCGUAUUUUUCGCUCUAUAGGACGCACUUUUUCCCCUCCAAAAAUGAAGGGGAAAUGUGUGUGCGUCCUAUGGAGCAAAUGCAGGCUUCAGGAAGCUAUCCGCAAGCCUUCGGAGCGCGGCGGGCACUCCCGCCGCGCUCUGAAGGCUUGUGGAUAGCACCCUGCAACCCGAAGCCCGGGGAGCGCAGCGCCAACUCCCGCUGUGCACCCCGGGCUUCAGACAGCUAUCCACAAGCCUUUUCUUUAUUCCCCACCCCUAAAAUCUAGGUGCGCCCUAUGGUCCGGUGCGCCCUACAGAGUGAAAAAUACGGUAUUCUCAUUUCACUUUUUAAUAUGUGUACUUUUUAAUAUGUGUUUCACACAGCCUCUUCUGACUCAUGGAGCGGAAGAGCUAUGUAUAAUCAGUGUACCGAUGACAUCUUGAUCCAAAACUCUAAAGGAGCACUCCCACUGGCUUCAUAUGCACAUUAUAGGAACACGGGUGGUGCUGUGGUCUAAACCACUGAGCCUCUUGGGCUUGCGAAUCAGAAGGUUGGCAGUUCGAAUCCAUGCGACAGGGUGAGCUACCGCUACUCUGUCCCAGCUCCUGCCAACCUAGCAGUGCGAAAGCACGCCAGUGCAAGUAGAUAAACAGAUACCGCUGUGGUGGGAAGGUAAAUGUUUUUUCCGUGCGCUCUGGCUUCCAUCAUGGUGUUCCAUUGUGCCAGAAGCGGUUUAGUUCUACUGGCCACAUGUCCUGGAAAGCUGUCUGUGGACAAAUGCCGGCUUCCUCAGCUUGAAAAGUGAGCUGAGCGCAGCAACCCCAUAGUCGCCUUGGACUGGACUUAAACAUCCAGGGGUCCUAUACCUUUUUACAUAUUGAACAGCACUGGGGAGAAAACAGGAUGAUGUGGAACCCCAUAGCAAAAGUGCCAGAGGGCUGAGGAACACUCACCCAGCCAAUCGACUUCCGGGUUAGCGCUUCCGGCAAUGGCGGAUUUCCUCUGAUCGGGAGGAAUCCGCUUCCUGAGAAUUAGGGUCUGGACCGCCACGGUGAGGCGGAGACCCACCAAAAACCACAGGCGGGAGAAGCCUGUGGACGUGGGAUUCGGCUGGCACCUUCUGCGCCUCCCCUACUCGCGGGGAAACCCGGUUUCGGGGAUCUGGAGCGACGUGGGGUAAAUGGCGCGGUGCUUCGAAUCGACUGCUCUUUUCACGGAGUGAAGCCGCAUUGCUGUUGCCGGAGAGCGCUGACUUUUUCCUGUGAACAAUUGGAUUUUAAUCAACUGCCCGUGAGUAGAACGGAAAAUCGGACUAUGAAACUUCUUAAUUUGGCACUGAAGCGGGAAGGUCUAAACAGGAAGUCUGCCUUCCGCUUUUGUAAAUAGAGUGAAGCAAAGACAUUGCAAGCUAGAGUCUGGAAAGUCGUUUGUAAAGGACUAAAUUUCCAUCAGUUAAAAUUACUAAACCCCCCUUGGGAGCAGGAGAAGAGGGGGGAAAUCUUAGACUGUUUAAACCUGCAGAAGAGAGAUAAUUUCCAUUGUCUUGAACCUGGGAGCGGGGUGUCAGAGACAGACGUUUUGGGGAAGUUCAUUGACUGUGGAUAAAACAUUCUUUUUUUUGACAGAUAGUUAAAAAAGAGAAACAUUUUGAUUCCAAUGUUCCCUUUUGCACUUAAAAGGAACAAAAUAUCUGAAAAAAGAAAUAAAUUUUGUUGCAGGAUCUGCUUUAAAAAAAAAAAGACGGAUACAAACAGAAAUUGUUUCCUCUAGAGGGAGCUUGUGAAACUGUUGCUGGAGUCGAUCUGGGGAUUUCCACAGUUCUAGAGAUUAAGAUCGUGACACCAGACAUUGACCUUGAACAAGAAUGUGCCCAGAAGAAGCUUUAGUGCUUGCUUUUUGCAAGACAAGUGCUUUACUGGAACAGUUACAUGAGAAGAUGGAUUUGAUGACUGUUGCAGUUGGCAAAUUUGGACAAACAGUGAAUACUCAUAUAAAAACCACUCAGGAAUUGGUCCAGGAAUGUGCCUUGGCAGGGCAAGUUGUGAGGAAGAUGGAGGAGGAGGUUGUUGCUGGUGGAAGUGGAGAGAGCUGUGGCCUUGCAGGAACAUAGGUUGUUGUUUCUGACGACUGAACCUGGAGAAAGUCAGAUUUGGAGAGAUGGAGUACUGUUUGGUUUGGAGAUGGGAAGUUGGAUAGACCCCCCCUAUGCAGGGAUGUUUUGACUUCUCGGAUUUGGUUUUGGGUCAGGGGGAGUUUGGAGUUGUGGGGGCCCUUAACCUUGGAGGGACUUUGAAACAUGCCUUCAAAUAUCUUUUGGAUGUCAGUGCUGACUAUGGAGAAUGGGCUGACUUGUUGAGAAGGGAUAAAGAUAUUGUCAAGUUGGAGUCUCCCCGAGAGAAAGGAAGGAAAUUAAGAAUAAGAUCAGCAGAAGAUAAAGUAAAGUGCAGGUAUAAACAUGAAGAAGACCUGCAGAAGGGACAUGGAAAAGACUUAAGAGCCUCGGAUAAAAGGUCACCAGGUUGAUGGACUAAAUGGAUGGAACAGAAAGGACUGACAAAACCCGACACCAGGAAGAAGAGACGACGGAUGAAGAUUGGAAGAAAGUUUUAAAAAAUUAAUUUAGAAAAUCAUUGUAAAAUUAAUGAGUACUAGAAAAAUGUUGGAAUGAAACUAUUUGGCUUUAGUAGAAAUGUUAAAAAGAAUUAUGUAUAAAUAUGUUUUGUGAAAAAGAAUUAGGUAUAAAUAAGAUUUAAGUUUUAAGCUUUAGGGUUUUUUAUGGUAAGAUAAGGUUAAAAUAGAAUCAUAGAAUCAUAGAGUUGGAAGAGACCACAAGAGCCAUCGAGUCCAACCCCCUGCCAAGCAGGAAACACCAUCAGAGCACUCCUGACAUAUGGUUGUCAAGCCUCUGCUUAAAGACCUCCAAAGAAGGAGACUCCACCACACUCCUUGGCAGCAAAUUCCACUGUCGAACAGCUCUUACUGACAGGAAGUUCUUCCUAAUGUUUAGGUGGAAUCUUCUUUCUUGUAGUUUGGAUCCAUUGCUCCGUAUCCGCUUCUCUGGAGCAGCAGAAAACAACCUUUCUCCCUCCUCUAUGUGACAUCCUUUUAUAUAUUUGAACAUGGCUACCAUAUCACCCCUUAACCUCCUCUUCUCCAGGCUAAACAUGCCCAGCUCCCUUAGCUGUUCCUCAUAAGGCAUCGUUUCCAGGCCUUUGACCAUUUUGGUUGCCCUCCUCUGGACACGUUCCAGUUUGUCAGUGUCCUUCUUGAACUGUGGUGCCCAGAACUGGACACAGUACUCCAGGUGAGGUCUGACCAAGGCAGAAUACAGUGGCACUAUUACUUCCCUUGAUCUAGAUGCUAUACUCCUAUUGAUGCAGCCCAGAAUUGCAUUGGCUUUUUUAGCUGCCGCGUCACACUGUUGGCUCAUGUCAAGUUUGUGGUCAACCAAGACUCCUAGAUCCUUUUCACAUGCACUGCUCUCAAGCCAGGUGUCACCCAUCUUGUAUUUGUGCCUCUCAUUUUUUUGCCCAAGUGCAAUACUUUACAUUUCUCCCUGUUAAAAUUCAUCUUGUUUGUUUUGGCCCAGUUCUCUAAUCUGUCAAGGUCGUUUUGAAGUGUGAUCCUGUCCUCUGGGGUGUUAGCCACCCCUCCCAGUUUGGUGUCAUCUGCAAAUUUGAUCAGGAUGCCCUUGAGUCCAUCAUCCAAGUCGUUGAUAAAGAUGUUGAAUAAGACCGGGCCCAAGACAGAACCCUGUGGCACCCCACUAGUCACUCUUCUCCAGGAUGAAGAGGAACCAUUGAUGAGCACCCUUUGGGUUCGGUCAGUCAGCCAGUUACAAAUCCACUGAGUGGUAGCAUAGUCAAGACCGCAUUCUACCAGCUUCUUUACAAGAAUAUCAUGGGGCACCUUGUCAAAUGCCUUGCUGAAAUCAAGGUAGGCUACAUCCACUGCGUUCCCUUCAUCUACCAGGCUUGUAAUUCUGUCAAAAACGAGAUCAGGUUAGUCUGACAUGACUUAUUUUUCAGAAAUCCAUGCUGACUAUUGGUGAUCACAGCAUUCCUUUCUAGGUGCUCACAGACUGUUUGCUUAAUGAUCUGCUCCAGAAUCUUCCCUGGUAUUGAUGUCAGACUGACUGGGCGGUAAUUAUUUGGGUCCUCUCUUUCCCCUUUUUGAAAAUAGGGACAACAUUUGCCCUCCUCCAGUCUGCCGGGACUUCGCCUGUUCUCCAGGAAUUCUCAAAGAUGACUGCCAGUGGUUCUGAGAUCACAUCUGCCAGUUCUUUUAAUACUCUUGGAUGCAGUUCAUCUGGCCCUGGAGACUUGAAUACAUCUAAACUAGCCAAGUAUUCUUGUACUAUCUCCUUAGUUAUUCUGGGCUGUUUCCUCUGCUGAAUCAUUUGCUCCAAAUUCUUCAGGUCGGGCAUUGUUUUCUUUAUCGGAGAAGACUGAGGCAAAGAAGACAUUGAGGAGUUCAGCCCUUUCUGUGUCCCCUGUUUGCAUUUCACCAUCUUCUCCUCUGAGUGACCCCACUGUUUCUUUGUUCUUCCUUUUGCUACAAACAUACCCAUAAAAGCCUUUUUUGUUGCUUUUAACCUCUCUAGCAAGCCUGAGUUCAUAGAUUAAGGUAAUUUAAUGACAGAAUAUUGUGAAAGAUGGAAAGGAUUUGCUGAGAUAAUUAAUAACUAGAAUACAAAAAAGGGAGGUGUGAGGAGGUCGAUGAAACAAGUUAAUGAAAGAUAAAGAUUUGGGAGUAUUGGAUUUGCUUUUAAAUUUUUUGUUUAUUUUUGUUUUUUUAUUCUGAUGUAUUGGGUGUUUUGUUUUUUUGUGUGUGUGUGUGUUUUUUACCUUUGUUUUUAUUGACUUAUAUUGUUUGAUCUCUUUUUUUGUAUACCUUUUUUCCUUUUCUUUUUUCUUGCUUUUUCCUCUCUCUUUAUGUAAUUUUAAAUUUUCAAUAAAUAUCAUUUUUUUUAAAAAAAAAGGAACACUCACCCAGUGCUACUCUCUGGACACGAGUCUGAAGAUACAGAUGGAACCACCGUAAUUCAGUGCCACCACCAACUUUGCAAAGCAAGGGGUGUUGGUGACCAGUCUAUAGUUAUUACACUGGGGCUAGAGUGGGUUUUUUAGAAGUGGAUGCACCACCACCUCUUUAAAGACAGUAGACUCCACUCCAUCAUGCAAGUAUCUGCUUACCACACCUCUGACCCAUUCAGUCACCCCACACCAGUUAGCUUUAAUAAGCCAGAGUGAGCAGGUAUGCUGUCCACAUCAUCAGGCUGCAUUGACUGAAACUGAUCCCACAACACGGAGCUCGACAUUGCAUUGGACAUCUCAGUUGGCCCUGUCACACUUGCAGCACCUCAACUGUCAUCCAGUUACAGUUGGUCUCCACGUGCUCCAGAGGUCCACCUUGAUGGACAGGAACAACCAACCUCCAGACCACAUGAAACAACUCUGCCAGACAGUUUCCCAAGGAUGCCAUAGGGGCAAUGAAGGAGGAUCUCUUUUCUUCCCUCACUGCUACAUAGUAGGCCCAUUUAUGAGCUGGAACAUGUGCUCAGUCAGCUCCUGAGAGAGAUUUACAUCACUUACACUCCAACCCCUGCCCAAUCUGUUUCAUCAAUCACAGCUCCUCAUUAUACCAAGGACCAAAAUGGAUUCCACAGCACCAGAGGGGGCAAUCAUGUCAAUUGCCCUUGUACACAGUAGUGACAUGGAAAUCCAAUCUACUAGUAGACCUUGCUCCCCCUGGCGACUCAUUGACUGAGCUUGUUGAGGGCUGGAAUACCCAGCUCCUGGCAGCCAUAGAUGAGAUCGCACCUAAGCGCCCUCUGCGACUCCGCAGAAACCGGGCUCCCUGGUUUACCGAGGAGCUUCGGAAAAUGAAGCGGGACCUCAGACGGCUAGAGCGAGUAUGGCAGGGUGCCCGUGACGGAGCCUCAAGAACAUCUUAUAGGGUUUUUAUGAAAACCUAUGAGAUGGCGGUGAAGGCUGCUAAGAAGUCUUACUUCUCGGCCUCCAUUGCAUCCGCUAGCUCUCGCCUGGCGCAAUUAUUUAGUAUAAUUAGGUCUUUAACAUCCCUUGAAGGACAGCCAAAUUUAAAUAACAAUCUGACACACAGCUGUGAGGCAUUUGCGAGCUUUUUUGCGGAGAAGGUCCUGUUGCUCCGCCAUGACCUCCCUGCCAAUUUGGAUACAAUAAAGGAACUGGAGGCCCCUCGACUGUCCUCGGGUCCAGUAUUGGACCACUUUGAUCGGAUAUCCCCAGCCGAUGUGGACAGACUCCUCCGAGCUGGAAAGCCCACCACCUGUCCUCUUGACCCGUGCCCGUCUUGGCUGAUUAGAGCGUGUCCAGACGAGGUGCGGGCCCCUGGGGAUAUCAUCAAUUUGUCCCUUGGCACCGGGAUAUUUCCAGUGGAAUUGAAGGAGGCAGUGGUGCGCCCGCUCUUAAAGAAAACAUCAUUAGAUCCCUUAGAUCUAUCCAAUUACCGCCCGGUUUCGAAUCUUCCAUUCCUGGGUAAGGUGAUUGAGAGAGCGGUUGCUGAACAGCUUGGUAGGUUUCUGGAUGAAACAUCAGCUCUGGAUCCAUUCCAGUCUGGCUUCCGCGCUGGUCAUGGGACCGAGACGGCUCUGGUCGCCCUAACAGAUGAUCUCCGCAGGCAGCUGGAUCGAGGCGGGUCGGGGCUGCUGAUUCUUCUAGACCUGUCAGCAGCCUUCGACAUGGUUGAUCACGAACUCCUGGACCACCGCCUUGCCGACGUGGGGAUCCAGGGCACAGUCCUUCAAUGGCUGCGCUCGUUUCUCUCUGGUCGGGGACAGAGGGUGGCGCUUGGGGGGGAAUUGUCAUCCCGCCACUCCUUGGUGUGUGGAGUGCCUCAGGGUGCGAUACUCUCCCCGAUGCUUUUUUAACAUCUUUAUGCGCCCCCCUCGCCCAGCUUGUCCGGAGUUUUGGGCUGGGUUGCCAUCAGUAUGCCGAUGACACCCAACUCUAUCUGUUGAUGGAUGGCCAUCCUGACUCGGCCCCAGACACACUGACCAGAUGUUUGGAAGCUGUGGCUGGAUGGUUACGUGGAAGCCGGUUGAAGUUAAAUCCUUCAAAGACAGAGGUCCUCUGGCUGGGACGGGACGAUAUGGGAUUGGGGGGGCAACUCCCAUCUCUUGCGGGGGGGUGCAAUUAGUGCCAGCACCGUCCGUUAAGAGUUUGGGUAUAAUCUUCGAUACCUCCCUCUCUAUGGAGGCGCAGAUUACAGCUAUAACAAAGGCGGCAUUUUUCAUCUCCGCCAAGCUAAGCAGUUGGCCCCUUAUCUCUCUCGCCCUGACCUAGCCACUGUGAUCCACGCGACGGUCACCUCCAGACUGGAUUAUUGUAACUCGCUCUACGUGGGGCUGCCCUUGAGACUGACCCAGAAACUCCAGCGGGUGCAGAAUGCCGCGACGAGACUCCUUAUGGGGUCUUCGCUGCGAGAUCACAUUCAUCCGGUACUAUACCAGCUGCACUGGCUCCCGGUGGAGUACAGGAUCAGGUUUAAGGUGCUGGUUUUAACCUUUAAAGCCCUAUACGGCCUAGGACCCUCGUACCUACGGGACCGCCUCUCCUGGUAUGCCCCACAGAGGAACCUACGGUCUGCAAAUAAAAACAUCCUGAAGGUCCCAGGCCUCAGAGAGGUUAGGCUGGCCUCAACUAGAGCCAGGGCUUUCUCGGCUGCGGCUCCAAUCUGGUGGAACGCUCUGUCACAAGAGACUAGGGCCCUGCGGGACCUGACAUCUUUCCGCAAGGCCUGCAAGACAGAGUUGUUCCACCAGGCCUUUGGUCAGGGCCCAGCCUGACUCCCUCCUCUGGCAACCUGCACAGAACUUUGCUUAACGGUUGCCAUUAAUUUGAUUUUAAUUAAUUUUUAUAAUGAAAUGUUUUAGAAUGUUGGAUUAUUUGAUUGUUUGAUUAUUUGUUUGUUGUUAGCCGCCCUGAGCCUGGCUUUGGCUGGGGAGGGCGGGAUAUAAAUAAAAAUUUUUAUUAUUAUUAGUAGUAGUAGUAGUAACAUUACAGGACAGACUUAUCCCACAUGCUUUGUACCCAUAGCUGCUGCAGCUACAUCACCUUUGCAGCCCAUGGCUAUGCACAGUUAUGGGCCUAAGUUACUUGAUCUGUCAAAAUGAUUUUUUAUUGAAAGGGGGUGAUUCAAUGAGCUAAUAUUAAAAUAUUGCUUCUUUUGAUAAAUCAACAGUUGGCAUUUUUCUGGUUCCAUACCACAGCUUGUACUAAGUGAAGAAACAAAGUCAUUGCCAGGAAUAUCAACUCACAGAUACAAAUACAACUGUUGAAAUAUCCAAGCUCUGAAACUUGCCACUGCCUCUGCUCUGUUUCCAGCUACUGGCAUAGGAGCAAGUGAUUACUAGGGUGAUGGAUUAUCCGAGAAGGUCUAAAGUUCACAGGACAAUAGUUCUUUGCAUUUAUGCUGAGGGGACUGGAUGGACUUUUCCACAUAUAUCCUGAAUUUCAACAAGUAGCAUUUUGGAAUUAAAAGCCAGCAACAAUGUGCUGCAGCAGUCAUUGGAUUAAACAUAAUUCAACAACAAAGCAGCUGGAACUGCAAGGUGCAUAAGAUAGUUGAUGCCCUAUACUCUUCUCACCCCCCCCCGAGGCAGAAUUUGGUGACUACUUCAGUUGACAAAUGCUGGCAGUGGGGAGCAGGGGCAGCUAUAUGGUUGUUCCUGCUGAGCCCCCUGGCUCUUUCCUUCUGUGUUUUUUUUUUAAAUAAUAUUUAUUACUUUUAUAGAUUACAAAAAGAGAGGAAAAAAAGCAAAAGAGAAAAAACAGAAGAAAAAACAAAAAAAAACAAAGAGAGAGAGAAAAAACACACAAUACAAUACAAUAUAUAAACAAUACAAAACACAACCUAAACUCAAAACUAGACACAUUAAGCUAAACUAAACAAACCCCACUCCCCAAAACAAAAACAAUUUAAAAACAUACAUCCUCUCUUUUCCAUACUCUAUCUUUCGUUCCCUUGUUUCCUCGACCUCCUCACACCUCCCUUUUUGUGUUCCGCUUCUAUUAAUUGUUUCAGCAAAUCCUUUCCAUCUUUCUCCAUUUUCUGUGAUAUUGUAAAUAGCGUAUUAUUUUAACCUCAUUUUCCAUUAAAACUAAAUUACUUAUAUGUGCUUAACUCCUUAUAACAUUUCUGUUAAGCCCAUAAAAAAUAAAAAAUCAUUCCACCAUUUUUCUAUCACUCAUUAGUUUUACCAUAAGUCUAUAUAAAAACUUUAAAUUUUCCAAUCUUCUUCCACCAUCUCCUCUCCCAGGUUUCGGAUUCUGCCAGUCCUUUCCGUCAAUUCCAUAAAGUCCAUCAACCUGGUGAUCUUAUGUCCGAGGCUCUUAACUCUUUUCCAAGUCCCUUCUGCAGGUCUUCUUCAUUUUCUUUAAUGCUAAAGAGCCAAUCUCAGGGAAAUUCCAACCUGUCAAUCCUUUUCUUCCUUCUGAACAAAUCAGCUGAGUUUCCAUAGUUAAAACUACAGUCCAUAAAGUAUUUCCGGGUAUAUUUCAAAAUUCCUCCAAUUCCAAAGGCCCCCAAAACUUCAAUCUCCUCCAGGCCCGAGUCCAUGUCCCAAAAGUCAGUUAAUCCCUGCAUAGAGGGCUCUUUCCAACUUUCCUUCUUUAAUCCAAACCGGGAUCCAUUCCUCGGAGUCUGGCUUUUCCUGGAUUCAAUCAUAGAAGGCCUCAACUUAUAAUCUCCAAUUUGCUUCUGUAAAUCCACAGAUCUCACUUGUAUUAUUUUAUGUUGAACAACAGCUGCAUUCUCCUUCUCCUCCACCAUUUGUCCUGCCAAAAUGGGUUCCUGUACCAAGUCCUGAAUUAUUUCUGUGUUAGUGUUCAUUUUUUGACUCAGGUUGGUCACUUUCUGUUCCAAAUUAUCAACUUUGAGAGUCAUAUCAUCCAUCUUCUUGUGAAGCUGUCCCAGCGAACAGCUUAUCUUACAUAAAAGAGUCACAAUGGCCUCUCCUGUCAACAUUUUUAAAUGGUCCAAGGUCGCUCUCUGGUUCUCAGAAUCCUUAUCUGCAGCUGGAAAUCCCCCAGUUACAGUCCUCUAACAGUUUCAAAAGCUCCCUCUAGCAGGAAACAGUCUCCACUUGUAUCAGUUCUUUCAGGCACAACUCAAGCAUUAAAGAUAAAAUUUCAGUUACUUUUCCUCUCUUUUUUUUUAAACACAGAAAGGGACAAUGAAAACAGUAUCUUACUCUUGUUUAGCUAGCUGUCAAAUCCGUUCUGUCAAAAGCACUCUCUCCAAAUGUCAUCUGGCAGCCCGUUCCCAGGUUCAGAGCAGUGGUAAUUUGAUUUUUUCACUCUCUCCUGCAGGCUCACUAGAUCCAAAAUUUCCCCCUCUUCUCCUGCUUCCUAAGGGGGUUUUGUAACUUUAAACCGGUGGAAAUUUGAUCCUUUCCCAAAAGCUUUCAAAGGCUUUACUUGUAACGUCUUUGCUUCAGUCUAUUUACAAAAACGGUAGGCGGACUUCCUGUUUAUAACCUUCCCGUUUCAGUGCCAAAUUGAAGUAUUUAAAAAUCCAAAUUUCCGUUUUACUCACGAGUAGUUGUUUAAAAUCCAAUUGUCCACAGGAAAAAGUCAGCGCUCUCCGGCAACAGCAAUGUGGCUUCACUCCGUGAAAGAAGCAGUCGAUUCAAAGCACCGCGCCACUCACCCCACGUCGCUCCGGAUCCCCAAAACAGGGUUUCCCCGCGAGUAGGGGAGGCGCAAAGGUGCCAGCCGAAUCCCACGUCCACAGGCUUCUUCCGCCUGUGGUUUUAAAUGGGUCUCCGCCUCGCCGUGGCGGUUCAGACCCUGUUUUUCACGGAGCGGGUUCCUCCCGAUCGGAGGAAAUCCGCCAUUGCCAGAGGCGCCAACCCGGAAGUCUCUGGCUCUUUCCUUCUGUAGGAGGACCCGCAGCUGUGUGCCCUAGCCUGUGCCUCCAGAGCUAGCCUGCUGCCCUCAGGCCUGGUGGAGUAAAAUUUAACAGCCACUCUCGGCAGCUUCUGCAUGCAGAAAGUGGGUGGGAGUGGUAUAAUUGGAGCAAACACAAAUCUGUGGAAAAGCUGAAUUGCCAUUUCUUGCGCUUCAGCUUUAAAGAGAGAGUUUUUACAGGGAAAGAUGGGACAUGGCACUGCAAAGCAUGGACCUGUGCCUGGACCUGUGCAGAGCAACAGGUGUGUUUCCGAGCACAAUUCAAAGGGUUGGUGCUGACCUUUAAAGCCCUCAACAGCCUCGGCUCUGUAUACCUGGAGGAGCGUCUCCACCCCCUUUGUUCUGCCCGGACACCGAGGUCCAGCGCCGAGGGCCUUCUGGUGGUUCCCUCCCUGUGAGAAGCAAAGCUGCAGGAAACCAGGCAGAGGACCUUCUCGGUAGUGGCGCCUGCCCUGUGGAACACACUCCCAUCAGAAGUCAAGGAAAUAAACAACUAUCUGACUUUUAGAAGACAUCUGAAGGCAGCCCUGUUUAGGGAAGUUUUUUUAAUUUAUUGUUUUAUCCUGUUUUUACUAUUCUGCUGGGAGCCGCACAAAGUGGCUGGGGAAUAAAUGUGCCAGAUGCGCAGGGCAUAAAUAAUAAAAUUGUUGUUGUUGUUAGGAUAAGUCUUAGAUUCCGAUCACAGAUGGUACUCAUCAUCUUUGCCAUGGGAUAUGCCAAGCAAAGGAAAACACGGAGCUGGAACAAGGAGUUGUGUGCCAUAUGCAGGCUCCCGAGAGGUCCAGGAGAGCUAAAAAGGUGCCCUCUCCCUCUCCCCAGCCCAAACCAUCCACUAGGGCACCAACCAAUCCUGUUUCCAUUCCAUAACUGGAUUAAAAUGGAUCUAAAUGAUCACUUUUCUCCAAGACUGUCUGGAAGAGACUGCAAACCUUAAGGUGACCUUCCUCAGAUGGUGAGAACAGUAAAUUGAGUUCACUUCCUGACAAUUAUUUAUGAUAUUUGCUACAGUUUAUAAACAGUAAAAGUAUCCUCAUCGCAAUACAACGUAGAAAUGGAGCUGCAUUUGUGAAGUGUUUUGGGGAGAGGUUGGUGGGGGGAGGGGAGUCAAAUAAAAGGCAUGCAAUGCUGACCUAAUUAAGACUGCUAGACUGCAAUGAGGUUCCAGAAUCCAAAUAAGCAGACAAGAAUAGAUUAAGCUCUGCCAUUUCACUGUUGACUGAGUAAUAGACCACACAUUUCAUUUACAGGUGAUUUGCACAAAAACAGGAUUUUGUGCCAGCACUCAGUUAGAAGAGCUAAUUAAUAAAAAUAUUUUAAAAGGAUAAGACGCAACAGAGUUGAUAAGCCAGUAGUACCGUAUAAAAUCCAGAUGUGUCAUUUGCAGCUCCUUGUAAAGAGUAGAUCUCCCUGGUAACUGUUGGUGUUACAGUUCAUCUCUUGAUUUCGCAGGCCUUUACAUGAACUUUACAGGUAGGCCCUUUACAUGAACUAGGAAUAAACCAGGAAGUCUCUGAUUAAACAGAGUUUCCCCUUUUGUCAAAAUUGGGAAUCUAUGGUUAGCAUAAACCAGGAUCUUAAACCAACUGACAGCUGUGAAGGGAAGAGUUAUCCUUCACAUCUCAUUGCUCAGUCAAGCUAGGUUCACCACUCCAGAAGGGAAUGUGCCCCUCAGGCUUUAAAAGGUUCCCCACCAAGCAGGCAUGCCUAGAAUUGCACUGCAAGUGGUCUUGCACUCGCUUCCACCUUGCACCACAGUAGCAACCAUGCAACUGCAUUAAAGCAUCAAAACUCUGCAAGAUCCCAAGUAAGAGCCAGUGUGGUGUAGUGGUUAAAAGCGGUAGUCUCGUAAUCUGGGGAACCGGGUUCGCGUCUCCGCUCCUUCACAUGCAGCUGCUGGGUGACCUUGGGCCAGUCACACUUCUUUGAAGUCUCUCAGCCCCACUCACCUCACAGAGUGUUUGUUGUGGGGGGAGGGAGGGAAAGGAGAAUGUUAGCCGCUUUGAGACUCCUUAAAGGGAGUGAAAAGCGGGAUAUCAAAUCCAAACUCUUCUAAGGCAAAUAUGAGGUGUGGCAUGGGAGAUGCAAUGGCAUGGUGUUCGUGAUCAUGUCUGAAUAAUGGUUUCUAGAGUUAGGAUAGGAUACUGUUGCUUACUGAUUAUCUUCCUUUUCACCAUUGUAUUCCUUCUUCCCUCAGCAGAGUUCAAGGUGCCAUGUUGUUGUUUAGUCGUUUAGUCAUGUCCGACUCUUUGUGACCCCAUGGACCAGAGCACGCCAGGCACUUCUGUCAUCCACUGCCUCCCGCAGUUUGGUCAAACUCAUGCUGGUAGCUUUGAGAACACUGUCCCACCAUCUCGUCCUCUGCCGUCCCCUUCUCCUUGCGCCCUCCCUCUUUCCCAACAUCAGGGUCUUUUCCAGGGAGUCUUCUCUUCUCGUGAGGUGGCCAAAGUCUUGGAGCCUCAGCUUCAGGAUAUGUCCUUCCAGUGAGCACUCAGGGCUGAUUUCCUUCAGAAUGGAGAGGUUUGAUCUUCUUGCAGUCCAUGGGACUCUCAAGAGUCUCCUCCAGCACCAUAAUUCAAAAGCAUCAAUUCUUCGGCGAUCAGCCUUCUUUAUGGUCCAGCUCUCACUUCCAUACAUCACUACUGGUCAAGGUGCCAUACACAGGGUUAUUCCAUUUCCUCCUCACAACCACCUGAAUAAAUUACAAUAAGAAAUAAUGACGUACCCAAGAUCAUCCAAUGAGCUUUUAGCACCACCUUGGCCACUGAGUCUUCUUUGUGCAACCACAUGCUGCGUAUGCUUGUCUGCAGAGACAUUCCAGUGAGGGAGCACUUGCUCAUGCCUGGGAGCUCCACACAAUCAGGACACCUGCCCAACCUGAGUCGUGUGGUGCUCCUACACGAGCAGGUGUCCAUGUGCUGGAACUUCUCUGCAGACCACUAUCCCAUCCAGUCAUUGCAGGAAGACCUGGUGGUGGGGCAAGGCUAAAAGUGCAGCCCUGCUCUGCUGUCAAUGCAAAUAUGCCCUGCACACUUGUUAACACAUGAGACUCUUGAGAUGUAGAAAUGUGCAGCUGUAGAGCUUUUUAGCAAUGACCUCCCUAGCUAUAAUCUCCUAAAGAGAAGAGAGGCCUGUAGAAAACACAGAAAUGCACUAUUGACACUUAGCAGAAGUUGGGCAUAUUGUCUGAGGAACUGUCAUGUCAAACUUUGAAGAGGUAGAAGCAAAUUUGGAGACCUAUGAAACCAGUCAGGCUGUAUAAGAAACUGGGCUGCAAACAGUCCUGUGUGAAGCUCAUGCCUUCCCAUUAUCUCCAUCCUGUAGUUCAAGCUUCAAAUAGGUAAGAGGACCACUUUUCCCCAUUACUCCAUCUAAGUUACUCUGUGGAUGUCCUUGUGGCUAUUUUAUAGAUUUGUCAAAUCCAUAUGAUAUGUGCAUGUGCUAGCCUGUUCUCACAGAUGGCACUAUCUUCUUCCGGCGACGGGCUGAAAGGAGCAAAUUCUGAAAAUGUUGCAUUAUCUCCUCAUUUAGGAGGAGAGCAUUUAGGGACUGUAAUUAAGGAGGUGUUGGAAGAUUUUUACAUCACGUUUUUCAAGAAAGGUUUUGCAAUAUUGUUCUGUUUGGAGAAGAGCUAUCCCUUUUGAUCGUUCUCCCCGCUCCCCGCCCCCAAAAACGUCUGGCUGAGAAACAACACUCACUCCACCCCCGCCCGUCUGCCUGCGUGUGUGCUCAGGCCGCCCGAAUGGAGCGUGCAAACGGGGCGCCCACCUCCUUCCCUUCCCGGCCCCCACGAUGCCUCUGCAUCUGCCCAGAUUUCAACUCCCGCCCGUCCUGGAGGAGGUAAACAAGCCCCAAGCCGCCGCCUCCUCCUCGGCUCCGCAGCGCCGCCUGGAAGCGCGUCUCGGGCCCGCCUGGCCGCGAGAAGGGCUCUGGGGCUGCUCCGUCCCUCCGCGGCCCGGCAGGAGGACUCUCCCUCCCGCCCUCCCUUCCUCCGCCAUCCCCGCAAGCCCCCGGGAAGGAGGCGGGAGGCAGGGCCCGGCCGGGGGGGGGGCGGCGAGGAGGAGCCCCAUCUGCUCCCUCCCUCCCUCCCUCCCUCCGCCUCGCGCGGCCCUGCGGGGGCGCCUGCGCAGAGGGAGGGGCGGGGGCCUUGCGAGGCGAAGGGCGGGGCUGGCCAAGGAGGGAACAGAGGGUUAUUCGAGGUGAAGCGGGGCGGAGUCGCGCCGAGGGGGCGGGGCCGGAGGAGGGAGGGAGGGAGGACGAGGCGUCGAGAGAAGGGGGGGCGGGGGGCGUGUGCCCCAUUCCUCGCUGCUUGGCCGCGGGACCCGCGCUGCUCUCUGGGUGCUUCUGGGGCUCGGCAAGGGGGUCGUGCCCGUGGGGCACGUGUCAGGUCACCUCCAGAGGGGGCUGCGGGGGACCAGCGUGGGGAUCUGGUGACUGAAGCGAGCAGCGCCUCUGAUGCGGGGCGGGGGGGGGGCGGGGAGGAGGAGGAUGGAACAAAGUGUUCGAAAAACCAGCCCCAGGAAGCGCAUCCCUCUGACUCACAGGGAAAAGCUGCAGGCAGGAGCAGCAGCAAAAACAGCCCCCAUCUCGGCGAAUGUGUCAUUUGCGUACAUGCGUGCUACGGAGGGGGGGCGGCCUUUUCUUAAGAGGAGGGCCCUGUGGUGCCCCCCAGCGUGUACUGCUAUGUCUAAUCGUGCUAUUUAUAAAUAUGUACCAGCCCGGGUUUAUUUAUUUCUCUCUCUCUCUUAAGCCCGCGUGGGCGGCGUAUCCUGAAGCCCCCUCCCCCCCCCCGCAAGUAGGUGGCUGCGCGCGUGAGAAAGCGAGGGGGGAGCGGCCUCCUCUUCCUCGCAAGCAAGCCAUCCGCUCUCCCUAGGAGCUGUCAUAUGGGGGGGGGGGCGGAGAGGGUGUGGGAGGCACCUGAUUGCAAUACUUCAUUUGUGCCGAGCAAACGUGCCAGGCUGUCAGAUCUUGCAUUUGCCCUUAAAAAUAAAAAAGUACAGGGAGCCCCGCGGGGGGUCGAAAAGAAGGUCUGCAGCAGCUUCCCCGGCGCCCCAGGGCGAAAAAAGGGACGCGGUGAUCCGGCGUUUCCUCCGACUGACACGCAGGCUGAUGACGGCCGGGGCCAGAAGUCACGCAGCCCCCCCCUUGCUCCCCCCUCCACCCCCCCUGCCUGCCUGCCUGCCUGUCUGUCUCCGAGGUGGAGGUGCUAAUUUCAGUGCGGCUCACGUGGGUCCGGGCUCCCUGCGCUUCCUGCACGAGCUGGGGGCGGGCUUACCAGCCCCCAAUCUAGGGCAGUUUGUUCAACUGCAGUAAAGGGAGCUCGAUGUUCCAGCAGCGAAGGGAUUUCUGAGAACUGGGACUGUGUCCUCAGAUGAACUCUCCUCCUCCUCCUCCCCCUCCCUUCUGCUGCCUGCAGAACAGCUUUAAAAGGGCGAUGUCUGUACUUUUGCCUGAGCAGCGCGUGGCUUCGGUGCACGUACAUCUGCAGCCUGCAGUGCAGUCGCUUGGUGCGGCCCCACCACCAUUCGCUCUGCAUUAAAGAGGCGAAGGCUGCUAAACUUCGGCAAACAAAGUUGUGUGGAGGGGCUCGGGGACGGUUCGGGGACCUCAACAACUCCGUGUUGUAAGAAACGUGGUACACGUAGCCAGUUCCCUAUACUGUACGUGCAAGCAGCCGAAUACUUGCUCACAUCCCUCGAUGUGGAGAAUUGUUCUUCCUGAAGGCAGAGCACCGUUUCAGCCCUCCCACCGCUUCGCCGCCCCUCCCCGCCUCCGCUUUCUGCAGAUUUCCUGUACAGAGUACAUUUCCUAAAAUGUGUCAUUAGCAGAAGCAGUUGUACUAGGGCAGUUCUGAAGAGCCUUGCAUCCCUUCAUAAUGCCUCGCCUCACUCAAGACAGACAACAGGAUCAAUUCCCUCUUUGUCUCUUCAUCUCACAUUCUUCGGUUCUUGCCCACCCACCCAAUGCCUUGGAAUGUUCUCCCCAUAAUUAUGUCCAAGGCCUCACCCACUUUUUAUUCAUAUCCCUUCCUAGGACCUUCAGAUAGGGGAAAGCUGCUCGAUUCUUCAUGUGUUUCCUGUAUGUCCUCCUGUGCUAGUAAACACGUCAAAGUUGAAUAUGUCAAAGGGGUUUUUAGAAUAAGCACCACUCAGUGGAUAAUACUGGUGACAAGGCCAAAUGUAGGGGCAGGUGACCCCAGGAACCACCUGCUAUGUUGAGCAAGGGGUCUGCAGGGACACCUGCUAUCCUCUAUCAAACAAAGUCAAGGCGCCCUCCACAUGUUGUUGGACCAUAACUUGCAUGAUCCCUGACUAUUGGGCAUGCUGGCUGAAGCUGAUGGGACCAGGAGUGCAUCAACCUCUGGAGAGCACCGUGUCUGCUCUCUACAGGCUAUUUAGUCAACUAUCCACUCAAAAGCGGAAACAAAGGGCUCAGGCCAGUCCUGGGGAAUCUGUCCCUACCCAUCCCACCUCCAGGGCUCCAACUUCCAUCAGCCACAGCUAGCAUGGCCAAAGGUCAGGCAGGAUGGGAGUUGGAGUCCAACAAAAUCCGUAGGGCUAAAGGUUAAUCACUUCAAGUAUAAAUAGUUUACAUGGCAUGAUCCUAGCAUGCAAAUUUAUUCCCUUAAAUCAUGUCUGCAAAUCACAGAACUCAUUAAAUGGGGGGUGUAUGCGUAAUUAAAAUAAGGUAUUUGAAAUUAGAAGAGGGUGCACAAAGGAUGGUUCUUGCCCAGGGGGCCAUUGAGUGUUGGGCCAACACUGAUAGCUGAAUAUGGCCAAACUCUCUCUCUCUGUCACUGGCCUUGGCCUUUGGCUUCACAUUCCCAACUCUAAAAGGAGAAUAACAGGCUCAUUCAUGAGGAUACUGUAAGAUUGAGCUAAUACUUCAAUGUGAAAUAGCAUCUGAGACAUAAACCUCACUAUUUUACCUACCAAGCACCAGGGCACCUUGUUUCACUUUUUGUUUUAGUUCUCUUUCAGCAUCCUAGUACUAAUACUAUUCUAUUUACUUUAUACUUACAUUUAUUUUAGGUUGUCAAUUACAUGUUUACUAAUAUGUGGACAGACAGCUGGGUGCCCUACCAUGUGAGAAGAGGAUGGCCUUGGACUUGUAUGUGGGAGGGUAACACAGGAGUGUUCAUAUAGUAGAUCUUCACUCUCACCCCUGCUCAGGUGGGGAGGGGGUGCCAUUUUGUGGAUGGCCUCAGGUGCCAAAAUGUCUUGAGCCAGCCCUGCACUUUUACCUCAGGUCUUGUGUGUGGAAAUAAUGUUGCUCUAAACCUAAAAUUGUAUUGGGGUUUUGUCUGUUACAUUGCAAUAUCUCCUUUCACAUAUCAGUAUUGUAAGAAAUGGAGCUGUCUGGGCCAACUCUGUACUGAUAGCUGUGAAUGAUCACUUCAGAAAAUUCAACUGCCCAUAUUAAAUCCUCAGGCUCUCUCAGGCUGCAUCCACAUUAACUCAUUUGUAACACAAAUUGUAGCUACACUCAAUAUGCCAGCAAAUAUGGAAAAAAUCAGCAGUGGCCAGAGGAUUGGAGAUGAUCAGUCUACAUCCCAAUCCCAAAAAAGGGCAGUGCCAAAGAGUGCUCCAACUACCGCACAAUUGCGUUCAUUUCACAUGCUAGCAAGUUUAUGCUCAUACUUCUACAAGGCAGGCUAAAGCAGUAUGUGGACCGAGAACUCCCAGAAGUACAAGCUGGGUUUCAAAGGUGCAGAGGAACCAGAGACCAAAUUGCAAACAUGCGCUGGAUGUUCCAGAAAAACAUUUACAGUCAUACCUCUUGUUAUGUCCGCUUCAUGUUACGUUCUUUCAGGAUAUGUCCUGCGGCGACCCAGAGGUACCGGAAAGGGUUACUUCCGGGUUUCACCGCUCGUGCAUGUGCAGACACGCAAAAUGAUGUCACGCGCAUGCGCAGAAGCGGCAAAUCGUGACCUGCGCACGCACAGAUGCAGGUUGCGUUCUGCUCAUGUUGCGAACGGGGCUCCGGAACGAAUCCCAUUUGCAACCAGAGGUACCACUGUACUUCUGCUUCAUUGACUAUGCAGAAGCCUUUGACUGCAUGGAGCACAGCAAACUAUGGCAAGUUCUUAAAGAAAUGGGAGUGCUUGAUCACCUCAUCUGUCUCCUGAUAAAUCUCUAUAUGAGACAAGAAGCAACAGUUAGCUGGGUAUGGAACAACUGAUUGGUUCAAAAUUGGGAAAGGAGUAUGACAAGGCUGUAUAUUGUCUCCCUGCUUAUUCAAUUUAUAUGCAGAAUUCAUCAUGCGAAAGGCUGGACUGGAUGAAUCCCAAACUGGAAUUAAGAGUGCCGGAAGAAAUAUCAACAACCUCAGAUAUGCAGAUGACACAACCUUGAUGGUAGAAAGUGAGGAAUUAAAGAACCUCUUAAUGAGGGUGAAAGAGGAGAGCGCAAAAUAUGGUCUGAAGCUCAACAUCAAAAAAACGAAGAUCAGGCCACUGGGCCCAUCACCUCCUGGCAAAUAGAAGGGGAAGAAAUGGAAGUAGUGACAGAUUUUACCUUCUUUGGCUCCGUGAUCACGGCAGAUGGUGACAGCAGUCAGAAAAUUAAAAAACGCCUGCAUCUUGGGAGAAAGGUGAUGAUAAAGCUAGAUAGCAUAUCAAAAAGCCUUGUCGAAAAAAUCCAUAUACUGAAAGCUAUGGUUUCCCCAGUAGUGAUGUAUGGAAGUGAGAGCUGGACCACAAAGAAGGCUGACCGCCGGAAAAUUGAUGCUUUUGAAUUAUGGUGCUGGAGGAGACUCUUGAGAGUCCCAUGGACUGCAAAAAGAUCAAACCUCUCCAUUCUGAAGCAAAUCAGCCCUGAGUGCUCACUGGAAGGAAAGAUCAUGAAGCUGAGGCUCAAAUACUUUGGCUACCUCAUGAGAAGAGAAGACUCUCUGGAAAGAAAACCUCUGAUGUUGGGUAAGAUUGAGGGCACAAGGAGAAGGAAAUGACAGAAGACGAGAUGGUUGGACAGUGUUAUAGAAGCGACCAACAUGAAUUUGAUGAAACUCCGGGAGGCAUUGGAAGACAGGAGUGCCUGGCGUGCUCUGGUCCACAGGGUCACGAGGAGUUGGACAUGACUAAUCAACUAAACAACAAAGCACAAAACUAUGCAAUAGUUCUAGACUCCAUGAGGACCACAAACAAAAAAACAAGCACUCAGUCUCCAUUGAGUCUAGAAUAAGAUGUCAUGUGUACAUAGCCUGAUGGAGACCAGCUCUUUCCAAAGGCCACACAAUCAGCCUAGAAACUCCCCAUGUUGAGUUGAUGAAGUGAAAUAUGGAAAUAUCCUUUAGUCAGAGUAGAAACUACCAGGGCAAGGUCCAAGUUUAUUAUGACAGCUUUUAUUUUAAAAUUGUGCUCUUUCCUACAGGGUGUAACUUUGUUAGCUGGAACAUGUUCUGUAAUAUAUAUUUUUAAUGUGAUUUUCUUAGCUGAAACUAUGAGCUGUCUGUAUUACUAAGGCACUUACUACAUUGCUAUUUAAACACAAUUGGAUGCAUUCUGAACUCAGAUUCCUCUGACCUAUUUUGAAUGCUCUGAAACCUAGACUACCUUCCAUCACACUAAAGCCAAUGGAUCCUAGAAAGCAUUUGAAACAGAAAGCUGUCUUUUUUCUGAUUAAUAAUAAAUACAGUGCAAAGUAUACAUGCAGUUAUAGCUAAAUGAUUUAAAGGUCAAGCAAGAAAAAAAACCUAGGCCCAAAAGUAGCAAAGCUCUUGAUACUUAGAAUUUUUUUAACACUUUUCCUUGUCGCUGGCUAAAUCUAGCUGGAGUAGUCGUAUCUGCCCACCAAGAACUUGAUGCCUCUUCACCAAUAAGCAUCUUGAACUGUCACUGAAGGUUCAGACUGAAAGACCUUGCACACACUCAGAACACCAUAGAAGCCCCUUGUGAUAAUGUGGUUUUUACAUAUUCUUUAGCAUUGCUGAAAUAUCAGUGUUAAAACUGUGUAAAAUUUUAGAACAUAAAUAUACCAGAUUAUUAAAAUUUCACCAUCCACUAUGAAAGGAAAUUUCAGUCCAACAUCAGUUUUAUCCAAUAUUUCAAAAGCCUGUUGUCAGAAAAUAAAAACACAUUUUAGAUAUUCUGCUUGUAUUUUAUGAUUCAGCCCUUGUUGAAUAAGUAAUGAAAGCAAAAUCAACCAGGAGAACAGUUCAUUUAAUUUUUCAAACUUUUCAGUCUGAAUAGAUAAGGAUCAUAUCACUUCUGAAAAGUUCUCAGGAUUCAGUUUAGUACAUCCUACAUAGCUAUCAUAAGGUGUCAUAAAGGCUGCAAUCCAAUGCCAUUUACCUAGAAGUUAGUCCCACUGAAUCCAAUGGGAGUUACUUCUGAGUAGCCCUGCAUAGACUUGCACUGUAAUACUUUGAUAUACAAUAUUUAAUAUUUAUACAUUAGUUUCAGUUCCAAACUGUUGGAUAUAUUAUGUCUUAAUCUCCUAAAUAAGACAAUACUCUCACAGUCACUCUCCUUUGGAACUUAUCUUGAAAGUGGGCUUAACAGUCUUGAGCAAUAGGGCAAGCAACACUCAUCCUAGAUAAUUUUACAUUAACCAAUUCUCCAUUGGAUGAUAUUCAAUUAUGGCAUUCUGCUUGCACAACAGGAUUUCCCCUUCUCUCCUUCCCUCUUCAGUCCCCCCUCCAGGUCAUAUGCUCUGGAGAGUUGGGGGGGACACUAAAGAGCUGAUGGGGGCCAGAGGGGAAGAAGAAGGAGAGGACCUGCUUCAUACACUGGUGCAACACUGGAUCUCACCCAUAUAUUCUUUAGUUCAUUCUUUAAUUUUAUGUCAUUUGGAUUUUUCUAAUUCUUGACAUGUUAGUUUAUCCAUGUCUCAUUUCAGCCCUUCUGUUUUUUAAAAUAAUUGGCUCAACUUAUGCUCUCUGUUUAGAAAUAUAUCUUUACUUCUUUGUUACUCUUUUGUUAUUGAAUAAUGAAUCCUUUUCCUAUUCAAUUUAGGAGUCUGUAACUAACUUUUAUUUACAUUUUCCUUUACUUUUACUUCCUCCUCCUACUCCUUCUGAUGCCAAGCAUACUUGCCACUGAGAACUGGUUGAAUGGAUUUCUUUCAGCACUGAAGAAAUCCUGUAAACCUUUUUAUUUUAUAUAUACCCGAUUACAUUCCCUUAUAUCUUUUAUCUUUGAUUGUCUUCCCUUAUAUCUUUCUUCUUUCCUUCUUCUUCCUCUUCAUUUUGUGUGGCCAAUGAGAUCUGGACAGAGUUUCUUUGUAACUAGUAUUUAUUGUUUGCUUGCUUGCUUUGUUUCCUGAAACUACAGAUUCUUGAAGCCUAUAGAAGAGCGUACAGGGAUGGAAAAGUCAGGAGGUUUUGCUCCUAGCACCACAGAUGCAAGAAUUGAAAAGUCCAGGAGUUUCUUCUAUCCUUUGUGCAAGGUAAAGGAAGCAGGAAGAAAAUGAAUGUUUGCGUUACAUCACAUUGCCUUCUUAUCUCACUGAACCCCAACAUAUUUGCUGAAAGACUAAGAAGUCGUCAAACUGUCAGAGAGGCACUGUGAGAUGGGCCUGUGAAUUCACGGGGCAAGUCCAUUGUAUUUCAGGCUCCACUACCCCAUCUGUAAAGGUUGCUGGGAAGAUACAUAAAACAGGAAAUGCAUCUGCACUAACCUCAGGUAUAGGUUGCUCUGUACAUCUAAAUGAAUGAAGGGGGAAGCUGUUAACUCUCUCUUGGUUCACAUUUAUCUGGAACUUGCUUAUAUUCUAUAAGAAUAAGGAAUGUUCUUUUCCCUUCCCUCCCAUUUACUCUCACAGUGUCCCUGCCUUUAUUCAAGAAUGGCACUCUGACCUGAAUGCUGAUCUGUUUGUCACUCCUUUACCCUAAGGUCACUAUAGUCCUCUUUUUUGUCCCUCCACUAGAGGCAGCUUACGGUUUGUUUUCUUCAUUCUGGUCAGGGACACAAGUAGCCAUCUCAAAGUCCUUUCAUGACUUGAACUUCAUCUCAAGCAAAAGCUGUUGGUUGUGCUCAGUGUCUACACAGGAGACUUCGCCACAACGGGAGCACCCGUCCAUUAGUUAACUGAUUAGCUAAUAAGCACCUGUGACAGCAAAGCCAGACCAGUGUCCGGAGAUGCAGUCCCUCAGAAUUCCACCAGAGGGCUGGAGCCUCUCUCUGAUUUGCUCCCAAGACAGCCAGUCAGAGGGAGGCGGAGCCAGCACUUUCGGAGGGAAAGUAAAAGAAGCCAUUUCUGAGGGACAGACUUAGAUAGGGCUUGAUUUGAGAUGAGACAUAGGGCUCAGGUUGAGAGAUAGGGAUCAGGAGAGGUUUGUCUGAGGGAGAACUGGUUCUGUUUUGAGUGGAACAUCCAUUCUGAGGAGAACAUCUAAAGCCAGAGAAAAGAGCCUCUCAGCUUAUAUAGGAAGACCCAGUUGAGGGUCUUGGGAAAGUAAAAAAGGAUUUAAACUGGAGGGUUGAGUCUGAGGCAGGAGAGGAAGAAACUGUGGGAAGACACUCUUAUUCUUGGGUCUCCUUCCAGUCUGGAGGCCAGAGAUCUCCUGGGAAAAGACGACCCUCAAACCAAUAACAAGGGCUGUGGGGACCCUCUGGGUCUGUUAUACUAACUGGGAUACCUCAAGAGUGAGAUUGUUAAGAGAGAGGGGAACCGAGGAAAAGUGGCCCUCACUCGGGAACCAAAUUGCUAAUCUGUGAAGGAAGCUGUGCAGUAUCAAAAGUAUUUCACUAACACCUCUCAUAACUAAGUAAAGGAACAAGAAACUGAGUUAAGCAUUUUACCACCUAUUCUGGAAACCUAAGCAUCUACCUGAAGUGUAACAACUGAUUUUUAGCAACUGAAGUUUAAGAAAAGAUGUGCACAUACUACUGUGUUUAAGCCUGCGACAUCCUUGUAUUUAGUUUAAGCGAUAAGUUACCUUUUACUUGAAAGAACGAAUUGCCUGGCCC